GGCUACCUCUGAAUAAUGAUUUCUCCUCCCUCCUCCAGGGGCCAGGGGGUCUGGUUUUAUAGUCCCCUCAAGUGAACGUGAGCCAUUGGAUCAAACCGACAUAGAUUGUAUGGUUUAGAUUGAUCCUUUAGGUCGGUGGAGUCUUGCCCCGAAGCAGAGUCCUGGUUGGAAUCCAACCCUGGGCGGGCGCCCAAGGGGGGUGAGCGGGCGCCCUACCCCCGAGCCCGAAUCGCUUUCCGUUCGUUCCCGUGGCUUCUGGAUCCUUCUAGAUUGAGGAAAAUUACGCGGCACGUAAUUAUCUCGUUGUAAACAUGACAUGUGGGUCUUCUCUCCAUAUUUUCUGAUAAACCCCUGCAGAAAUAGAUAAACACCAAAACUCGUGGAAUUCUGUCAGAUAAAACCCUAAUUCUAGAUGUUUGUUUCAUAUUGAUCCUUUUUCAUGUUUAUUUGAUUAUUAAUUUUAGUACUUAAGGACCGUCAACAAACUCCCCCAAGCUUACCCUUUGCUCGUCCCUGAGCAAACAGCUAAACUCAGAUGGAUCAGGAGUUGCUUCGAUGUUUUCUUUUCUGACAGACACACAUGCUUUUACAUAAAAAUUCUUCCAGAUUAAAGUGAAGUGUUAUGAAGUUUAGUACCUGCACUUAAAUCUUAAGUAAUCGAAAGACAAAAUAGUUAAGUCAAGCACUAUCCCUCUUGUCUAUACUUCACCUUUGUUCUAGAGUUUUUUCAUAAGUUUUCAAAAUAAAACUCAGAGUUCCCAGCAAUGAUUCUCUCAAGUCUCUCUAUAUGUGGUAUUUGUGGAUCCUUACCAUGAUAUCACUUACCUAUAGCUAAUGGAAUAUUUAAGUGGAGCUCAUAGGAGUGAAAAAACAGCUCAUACAUAUGUUGUCUAAUCGAGUCAUGGAUCCAAAGGAACUUAGCAUAUAAUUAAAUCAAGAUGUGCAUGUGUGGUGGAGUAAAUGAUAGUGAUGAUGAAAAUGCAUAAGUGAUAAUAAAACUUAGUUCUCAUUGCUCCUUAUAUUGCUAUCUCUCCUCCUCUUUGAUCUUUGCUUUGGGAGAACAUGGGCUAUCUCUUUUUUUUUCAGGUGGGUAGUAGAUACCCCUAAUUCUACUGUCGGACACUUGUCCAUUUUUUCCGCUCAAGUGGGCAUCUUUGUACCCCUAAUUCUACUCCGGACACUUGUCCAUUUUUACCUCUCGUCUCACUCUUUUUCUUUCUUUUCCGAGGUUCCGGGCACUUGCCCCUUUUAUUUCCUCGUAUAUUUUUGCAUAACCCAUGCCUCUUCUGCAUUGAAUCUUUUUAGAGAGAGAGAGAAUAACAAUACUUGGGACAGUGAGUGAUAAUAUUUUUAGCAAUUUUAAUGAAUGGUGGUGGAUGCUGUGGUAGAUGUGUGCAAGUGAAUAUCUUAAUUUAACCACAUGAAAAGCUCCUAAGGGUCGACACAGCUCGAUCAAACUCAAUGUAAAUAUAGUAAAAGAUGUUAUAGCAAGUAUGGCUGUGGUAGGUAGUUUGUUAUGCUAGGAACUCAUCAUGUGAUUUGUAAGUCUUCAAAAUAAAUCUCUAGAACUUGGUGUAGUAGGAACAAGAUAAACAGUAGCUCAACUUUAUAUCAUGCCUUUCUCUUACCUAGACUUUAGUUUUAUGCUUCCCAAAGAUAGUAAUUUUAGUUUUAGUAAUUCCUGGAAGAACUCUAAUAUAAAAGCUAGGUACUUGUAGGUAAGCAAACAGAGCAACUGUUCAUCAUUUCCAUCAUGUAUCUUUUUGGUCUUUUUGUUUUUUCUAGAGAUUUGUACUUAACAGAUAAAAUAAAGCACACUUAUCUACAUACUCUUUUUAUUUUGUUUUUAUGUUUAUAAAAUGCAGUAAAUUAAAGCAAGAAAUUAUUUAUUUGGUUUUCUAAGUUUUUUUCCUUUUAAGAUAAAUUAAAUACUAAGACAGAAUAGAAUAAAUAGGAAGAGUAAAUAAAAACUUACUUGAUAAAUUGGGGAGGAACUCCCCCAAGCUGGAUGUUGACGUCGGUCUUACCCGAUAUUCCAGAACCGCAUCAUGGUUGUGAUGUUGUCGUUCAUUGUUGUUGUAUCUUGUCUCAGCUCUUCUACUGCAGCGGCAUGGUCCUGGUUCUAUUUUUGUUGCUCUUCCAGGAGUCUUCCAUGUUCUGCUUGCGUGUUCUGGAUGUCGAGGAGGGUGUUGUCGGUACGAGUGAAGAAAGCACCGGCCUCUUGAUAGUAGUUAUUCGUGAAAGCGUAGGAGGCGUCGGAGUAUCAUCCUGCAUCAAAUUGGGGCGGAGGUCUGGAUCCUGAAGCUCCAUAUGGAUCAGUGGAAUACCUGCCCGUAUGAAAAGGCGGGUUUGUCCACUGGUGAUCUUGGCUCUCCGGCCAUGUCUCUUCUGUUGGCUCUUGUGGUUGCGCAUGACGAGCCCAUGGGUCUCGAAGGACUCGAGGGUUGUAAUCGCAAUAAUGCAGGUGUGCUGCUUCUUCUGGUCCGGGAUCAGCUCCAUACCAGGUGCGUUCUCGGUGAGUGGUUAUCCUUUCAGAUGCCACUCGCUGUGGAGUUCUCUGGUUCACUGGUGUUGCUGCAAUCUCAAUCAAAAAGUUUUGCACAGCGUAGAGGCCAAGGUUCGGGUUAGGUAACUGAAUCUUGCCUUUAUCAUCAUAUAGCAUAUACAUUAUAUUCCCCUCUUUCUUUAACAUCCGAGCUUGUCUAAAUGUGUUAUAGCCAUGAUAAAUUCUUAAUUCUUCUAUGAAGUCCAACGAUGAGUUUUCUAGUAAGUGAAGAUUAGUGGCUAGACGAGUGAUAAGUGAAGUACAUCCUACUGGUCCCUGCAGACUAGGUAUACUAAGCCAAUGUGAAACUAAUAGUGUAACAGGUGAAGUGGGUACUUUACUAAUAGCAGCAUAUAAAAGUUGUAAAUCUCCUACUCUUACUUUCCUAAUAUCGUCACGAUAGAAAAGAUUGUACCCAAGCCAUUUGUGAAACAUCCUAAGAGUGGGGUGUUCCAUGUCACUGGUUCGGGCUUGACUGUAAAAAUUAUCUCUAGAUAUUUCUCUCCAAAACUGGUGUCUCUCAAAAUUGGGUAAAUCGGAGUCAAUGUUCAGGAUGCAUCUUGAAGAGAAACCAAGAUGGUCACUCAGCUCUCUCCAAGAUAACAUAAUUUCCUGUUUGAACAUCCGAAAAACAAUUCCCCCCUCAUAGUAUUGUAAAGUGCAAAGAAAUUCGAGGGUGAGAAGACAAGAACCCAGCUCAGUUAUAUUCCAAAAAUUUGUCCAACCCAUCAUCUGAAAAAUUAAGUCAAAUUCAGUGUCCAUACCUGUUUCUUGUAGUAGGAUUGGAUCGAGAGUAGGGGCAUGAAUAAAAUCUUUAUUCUUCAGUUGCUGAUAGACUUCCUUCUCUCUUCGGGUCUUCAGUCCAAGGUCUCCUAUCUUGAGAAGGACCUUAACUUGUUGUCCUGAUGAAGAUGAUGGAGCUUGUGUGGGUGUCGGGUCAACGCUCAUCUCUGAUGGCUGUGAGGAGUGUCGGGCUGAACUCCUUGUACCAAUGUUCUUGAGAGCCUUCCCUGCAUUCUUAACCUUCUUAAACAUCCUGCAAACAAAGGUUGGCAAAAAACACGACUGGUGGAAAAUGUGAGAUAAAAUGUUAGUGGUCAGCUGUCCGGAGUGUCAGUAAUCCAGGGGUUAAUCGUUCAAGACAAGUUUCUAUUUUGGUAGAGCCUCCCCCUAAACAACUUUUACUUCCGCUUAGAUAACGGGAUCACUACUUGCUAGGUGACAAUCACUCUCUAAAAAGAACUCCAACCUUCCCUUCCACUCUCCUCUUUCUCUCUACUCUCUUCUCCUCACUACAAGAACUCCUUCUCGGGAAACUGAAACUUGUGUGGUUUUCUGGAGCGUUUGUGUGAAGAGAAGGAGAGCUGGAGGUGGCCUUUUAUAGGAGGAAAAGGGGACAGGGCGGGCGCCCUUGGUAGGUGGGCGGGCGCCCACUUGUGAUGCCCAUCCUGGGUGUGCCUCCUCCACUUGCUUCCUUGCUUUGAUCUCACGCAGAAUAAUAUUGUGUUGGUGGUGGUUGGACGGUGGAAAGAUGUCAGGUGAGUGGAAACAUAUUGGUGGAUGAAAUUAUGUGAUGGGAUGUAUGUGAGGUGAAGUGUAUGACAUGUGGGACCCAAGGAGUGUGGGUCAUGCUUCUAGAAGAUCAAUAUAAAUAAAUAUAAUGCAUGAAAAAUCUAUGAGAAUUGAAACUUAAUUAAAAUGAUAAUGGGAAAUAUUUUUGUGCCUCCACAAUAAUUAAUAAAUAUGGGUUGUUACACACCACGAAUAUUAUUUAUAUGGGGCUUUUUGAUUAUUAUAAUUAUGCUAUGAAUAUAUAUGACUAAUGCAAGAAUUAAUUAUGUAAGAAUUUAAAUAUGAGAGAAUUAAUAAUGCGGAUAAAUACCGAUUUACCUCCCGGUGAGGGUUUGGGAUUUUCAGGUCCCUUAAGCUGGACCUCCAAAUCUUUUAAUCUUCUGAGUUACCUUCCUUCGAAGAUGGUGUCUCCAGUGGUUCUUCAUAAACUUCCUUCACUGUAGAGUCUCUCUGGUCUGGGUUUGAAUGUGAAGUGUUCUUCUUGACCGUUUAUGUUGAACUUGAUUUCUCCCUUCCCGACAUCAAUGUGGGCAUUGGCAGUGCUCAGAAAUGGCCUUCCAAGGAUGAUGGACACUUUCGAGUCAGGACUCAUGUCUAGUACUACGAAGUCUACUAGCACCAGGAAAUCUCUGAUCUUGACUGGAAUGUUCUCGGCGAUGCCCAACGGGUGUCGAAUCGAUUGAUCCGCUAGUUGUAGGCACAUUGAUGUUGGUUCUAAGGUUGCAUGCUCAAGCUUUUUGUAGACUGAUGCUGGCAUCACACUGACACUUGCUCCGAGAUCAUAAAGUGCCUUAUUGAAGUGUCGGUUUCCGAUCGAGCAAUCAAUAGUGGGGCAUCAUGGAUCUUCCUUCUUCUUUGGUGGUUUGUUGAGGAUGGCCGCACUACAUUCUUCUGUCAGCUUGAUAACCUCAGUGGUGGGCAGUGGUCUCUUCUUGUUAAGAAUAUCUCUGAUGUACUUUGCAUAUGUAGGUACCUGUAUGGCAUCGAGCAGAGGUAUGUUGACAUAUAAUUUCUGAAUGACCUCUACAAACUUACCAAACUGCUCAUCCGACUGCAGUCCUCUGUUUCUUCUGGGAAAUGGCAAAUAGUUGGUGUCGUAAAAAUCUUUCCUCAUUUCUCCAGUUCUUGGUGGUUGGAGCAGAUCUUCUGCUUCAACUGGGCUUUCUUCUUCUAUCACUGCUGGUUGCACUGGUUCUGAUGUUCUUUGUUUCUCUUUUGGGUAUGGUGGAUCUCUGGUGGCUUUACCUCCUCUAGUAGUUAUAUUCUUUACCUGCUCAAGGUUAGUAGCAACAGGCAGUGCAGCAGCUAACUUUAUUAAUUUAAGCUCUACCCUUUUAUUAAGAGCGUUUUGCUCAUCAAAGGCAGUUAGUAGAAAAUCCAUUUUAUUGUGUAUAUCUUUUAGAGAUGAUUCAUUUGUAUCUAGCCUUUGUUUAACUUCAUCAUUAAUUUUGGUUUGUUGAGCAAUUAUCUCUUUUAAUGAAAGUUGCUUGACAGUAUUACCUGAAUUCAUACCAUUGCUAUUGGGUUGACUCGAAGUUGGUUGAUAUUUGUAUGCUAUCUCAAUGGCCCUUUGAUCUUCUUUGAACUUGGCCCUCUGGUCAAUCCAAUGGAGCAAAUUUUCCAUCUUAGUUGAUAAUGCAUUUACUUCUUCUAGUAUUCCUUCAGUUUGAUGACAUUGUUGAGCUUUAUCUUGGAACCAGCUUUGAUUUUCUACUAUCUUAUCCAAAAGUAUCUCUGCUUUUCCAGUUGUAAGUUCCAAGAAUGAUCCUUUAGCAGAUGCAUCUAGGCACUCACGAGCCUUCUGGGUUAAUCUUUGGUAGAAGGUCUGCAUAAGUAACCAUGUGGCCAUUCCAUGGUGAGGACAAUCUGAUAUGUAUCCUUGAAAACGCUCCCAUGCUUCCGAAAUGGUUUCUGUCUUCUGCUGUUGAAAACUGACAAUAUUUCCUCUUAAGGCAGUUGUUUUGCCUAUAGGGAAAAACUUUGAUAGAAAGGCAUCUGACAAGUUCGUCCAGUUGUUGAUGUUAUCUUGAUGAGUGUAGAACCACUUCCUCGCUUUUCCUUCUAGUGAGAAUGGAAAAAGGCGAAGCAGUAUGACGUCUUUGUCAACUCCGUUGAUGUGGAUUGUGCUUCCAAUCUCUAAGAAAUUCUGCAAGUGUGCACUAGCAUAUUCAUGUGCCUUUCAACUGAAUUGUGUAGCUUGCACCAAAUUGAUGAGGCUUGACUUGAGCUCAAACUCAGGUAUUCCUUCUUCUACUGCAAAUCUUGGACCAGUUGGAAUGUUCUCAAGCCUUGGAGCAGAGAAUUCUUGCAAGGUCUUGUGUGCCAUAGCUUCAACAAUUGGUAGCUAGCUUCUUCUUCUCUUGAUUGCUUUGGUUCUGAUGAUGGAGAGUUGAAUGUACCCAAAGUCAAUCCUGUUAUACCCUGUCUAAAAAUAUAAACAUAGAAAAACAACAGGGUGAACCUGCCAAAGCAGAGGUGCCUUGUUAUGAUUUCUCACUUAGUAGCUGUUUUUAUGCAAUUAUUUCUCUAUAGUCUAGUCUAAUAUUUUAUAUGAAUAACCUUGACUGAUUUUCUGGCUUUCCUAAAUAUUACCCUUUUGUUCCCUUUUAUGACUUAUUCCUGAGACUCGUAUAAUUCCUAUAAAUCCCCGGCAACGGCGCCAGAAAUGCUUGUUGACACUAGCUAACACCACUUAGAUACUAGGUUGUCAUCCCUAGCAUGGCGCCAGAGUGUACAAAUGUAUUUAUAAAUGUAAAGGCUCUCUAGAAAAUAAUCUAUUCUAUCCGCAAGCGCAUAGAUAAAACACCUCAUUGUAGCAUUUCACCAGGAUAAGUAUUCCAGGUAUCGUUAUUUAUAAUUUUGCUCAAGGGAUCUAAGGAGAUGGAAUUAAAUCAAUGGGCAAAAUCUAUCAAGGCAUAGACUAGAGAUAAACUUGCAAGAACAUGAUUACUAAUGAGAAACUCGUCACACAGUCACUUACUUUAGCAGGGGGUAAACCAUAAAGAUAAUGAUAAUGAAUUAUAAGUUCAUGGGUAGAUAACACAGCGAUUAGAAAAUAGACUACUCCUCAUAUAUGUAGGUGAUGUCGGAUUAGCUAGAGAAUGGAUUCUAAGUUAUCUACUAACUACUAAGUCAUAAUCUACUCUAGUUAUCUACAAGAUCAUGUAUAGCAUAAAAGACUCUUCAUUCAUGUAUAAGGAACAUUGAUAAAGUAAAUCAGAACAUCGCAUGACUUACUCCACAAUACCGGUUCUGCCUGUCUUAUCAACGGAGGGUGGACUAUAUAAGAAUCAACGAAGCUGUCACUAUCGCGAACUACCACAUGACUCGGCCAAUAGGAUACAUUUGCAGAUAAAUAACAUCUAAGCACCACGCUCACAUGUGAUCUAUCACCUAACUCCCUCGCGUCAAGAGCUAAGCGCUUUGCAAACUUAUACAUAAACUCAUUAUCAAUUAGAACUAUAUCAAAUAUAGAACUAGAGCAAACUAAGAACAUAAUAAUUAGAGACAUAAUGCAAUUAGAACAAUAGAAUUAGAGAAAGAUAUGAAUAAUACCAAUCUUUAUUACCGAAGAUCCGAAUCCAGAGCGUAGUGCUCUACUUCUCUAAUUGCUAUCUAAUCAACCUCUAAACUUGAAGGAUUAGGGAGUAGCUAAUUCUAAUUCUCUGUAGGAGAGAAGCUCUAAACCCUAACUUUGAUUGCUACCUCUGAAUAAUGAUUUCUCCUCCCUCCUCCAGGGGCCAGGGGGUCUGGUUUUAUAGUCCCCUUAAGUGAACGUGAGCCAUUGGAUCAAACCAACAUAGAUUGUAUGGUUUAGAUUGAUCUUUUAGGUCGGUGGAGUCUUGCCCCGAAGCAGAGUCCUGGUUGGAAUCCAACCCUGGGCGGGCGCCCAAGGGGGGUGGGCGGGCGCCCUGCCCCCGAGCCCGAAUCGCUUCCCGUUCGUUCCCGUGGCUUCUGGAUCCUUCUAGAUUGAGGAAAAUUGCGCGGCACGUAAUUAUCUCGUUGUAAACAUGACAUGUGGGUCUUCUCUCUCCAUAUUUUCUGAUAAACCCCUGCAGAAAUAGAUAAACACCAAAACUCAUGGAAUUCUGUCAGAUAAAACCCUAAUUCUAGAUGUUUGUUUUAUAUUGAUCCUUUUUCAUGUUUAUUUGAUUAUUAAUUUUAGUACUUAAGGACCGUCAACAGUUGGAUCAAACCGACUUAACAAGCGGUCGAGAUAGCUCCUCAGAGGCGGUAGAGGAAGCUUUCGGAAGGGGGGGGGGGCAAACCCUAGCAGCAGGGGACCGGUCGACGCUAGGGUGGGGCCAGCCAGCCCCACCUGUGAAAGCUCUAGUUUGGUUUUGGAUAAUUGAUCAAACUCUAGUACUAACCUCUAUACUAAGUGUGUGUAGACUUAAUGAGGUUGGUACAUGCCAAGUGAUGGAGCAAGAGAUGAUCAUGGUGAUGAUGGUGAUGACCACAAGAUGAUAAAGUGCUCAACUUGGAGAAGAAGAAAGAGAAAAAUAAAACCCUAUGGAAAUCAAGGAAAUGGUAUUGCUUAGGGUUUUGGUUUUUGUGAUCAAGAUACCAUAGAGGGUGUGAUCACAUUUAGGAUAGAUAGCCGUAUUAUAAAGAGGGGAAUUCCUUGGCUAAGCGGUUAUCAAGUGCCACUAGGUGUCAUUGUUCAUGUGCAUGCAUUUAGAACCUAGUGAGCUAACUUAACUCCUUCGAAAAAAUGAUUGUGAAAAUGCUAACACACUUGCACAUCGUGGUGUACACUUUGUGGUGUUGGCAUACUUUGAGAAGGAGGUGGAGAUUGAAGGGUAGAGAGGGGUUGGGUUCCUCUCUCCCUUCCACCGAGCUUGCGAGGCGGGAUUCAGCGCUUUUGAGAAAAUGUAAUGCAUAUUUUUCUAUUGUGCCGGUGGGAAGUUUGGAGAAGUUACAGGAGUGUUUCUCGCUAAGAAACACUCACCGGACGCAGUGCACAGAGGCACCGAACGCGUCCGGUGCUAUGUCGGUGUCUGACUAGAGAGUGCAGAGCACACCAGACGCUCUGCACCAGACGCAGGAGAUCUAUUGUGCGCGCGUCCGGUGCUUGUUAGGGUCGGUGCGCUAGACUGCACAGUUUUCUGGCAGGGCACCGGACGCACCGGAGUGAGUCCGGUGCUCAGCGUCCGGUGUGUGAUCUCUUUGCAAACCUCCCUGCGUAUGAAACCGGACGCACUGGAGUGAGUCUGGUGCUCAGCGUCCGGUGUUCAAGCUUCUUUGCGGACCUCUCUACGCACGGGUCCGGCGAGUAUCGGAUGCGUCCGGUGCUCACUUGACCGCGUCCGGUGGUCUGCAGGUGACCGUUAAGAGAUCGACGUGUGAAGGUAAAAAGGGGACACGUGGCAGUUUUUUAGGGCACUAGACGUAGGGCUUGAGCGUCCAAUGUUUCCCUACAGCGCAUCCGCUGAUCUUGAUUUUAGCCCAGUGAAAGAGCCAACGACUCUAUUUAUUUGAGGGGCUUGUUGGGUAUUCUUAACAUCAUUACCAAAAGUAGACAGUUUUCUAAUUCUAAUAACGGUGCCAAAAAUGCCAAACCUAUCCCUCACACCACUUAAGCUAAGUUGUCAUCCCCAGCAUGACAUGAGAGACGCGGUAUUGAAAUAUGCAAUUGCUCUUCUAAAUAAAUAAUGAAUGGGAUCUGCAAGCGCACAGAUUAAUACCGAUGUAGCAUUUUAACCGGGAAGUAUUCCAGGUAUCGUUAUUUAUAUUUUUACCACUGGGAAGGGAUUAACAAUCAUCAAUAUUGAUUAUAGAAUAGAAUAUGAGAUUGAGUAUCUAUCAUUGCAUGUAUAAUUGAGAACAUUUAUCUAACUCUUUCAUACAGGGAUAAGUGUCACAUAAAAGAUAUAUAAAAUAAUGAAUAGUGACAAAGAUAAUUAAUCUGAUCAUAACUAGUCACAUAAUAAAUAUGAUAAGCACCUCAAUUAGAUACUCUAGAAUGUCAUUAGCAUGGAAUUAGAACGAACUACAAGAAUAUUCGCUAAGUUAUUCUCAACUAUAUAGUCUAGCAUUAUCAUAAUUAGUGCAAGCAUACUUAGCAAUCAUUACGAGACAAGACUACGCCCAUGCAUAGUGAUAUUAGCAAGGUAAAUGAGAAACAUAGCAAUCACUCCCCUGUAAUAAUAUUGCUCUGCCAGCCCAAUACACGAGAGGGGGACUAUAUAAGAAUCAAUAAAGCUGUCACUAUCACGAACUACCCCACGAUCUGGCAUAUUGGGUACAAUCGUAGAUAAAUACGGUAUAAGCACCACGCCUACACAAUAUCUAUCAUUUACCCAUGGAUCCGAUGGAUAAAUGCUAUACGAUCCUAAGCAUGUAUAUAGAUCCAAUCUAACUAAGCCAAGUAUAUAACCAUGAUAAACUAAGAACAAUAUAAUCUUGAAUAUAAACAAGUAGAGCAAAGUCAUAAGUAAUAUAUUGAAGUAGAACAAAGUCAUAUUCAUAAUAUUGAAGAACAAAGAUGAUUAGAAAGCAAUUAGAAGCACAAUUAGAGAAUUACCAAGAAUCCUCUUGACAGAUCCGGAAACCAAUCGAAGAUUGACUCCUUCUAGUUCUAAUCCUAUGUAGCUAUACUAAUCUAGAUAUCUAAUUGAUGUGGUGGCUCUAAUCUUGAUCAGAGGCUUCUUCUCCCUUGAAGAACAAUGAAUUAGGGUUGAGAGGCUCUCUCCUCCAGGGGCCAAGGGGUCUGGUUUUAUAGUCCCUUCAAGUGAAUAUGGGCCGUUGGAUCAAACCGACUUAGAUUGAACGGUUAUCCUUGAUCCUUUAGGUCGGUGGAGAUCUCCCGAGAAACAGAGUCCUGAUUGGCCUCCAAGUCAGGGCGGGUGCCUAGGGCAGGAGGGCGGGCGCCCUGCCUCUGGCCCCGUUCGGCCUCCGCUUCCUUCCCGUGGCUUCUGGAGUCUUCUAGAUGUAAGAUAAUUGCGCGGCAUGUUAAUAUCUCUAUGUAAUCCCGACGUGUGGGCCUUUCUUCCGUAUUUCCUGAUAACCCCCUGCAGAAAUAGACAAACAUAAAAACUCAUAGAAUUCUGUCAGAUAAAACCCUAAGUCUAGAUAUUGAUUUCAUUUGGAUCCUUUUCUUUGUUUAUUUGUUAAUUAAAUUUGAUACUUAAGGACCGUCAACAAACUCCCCCAAGCUUACCUCUUGCUCGUCCCUGAGCAAGGAUAGACUCAGCGAUGGAUCAGAAGUUGUUGCAAUAUUUUAAAAAUUGACGGUACACAUGCUUUUAAAUAAAAUCUCAUCUCUGAGUUAGAGUAAACUGUCAAGACUUAAAACUUACUUACUUAACCUUUCACCAUGGGACUUGUAACCGUCACUUCUGUCUUGAGUAGUUAAAAGAUAGAACAGUCUAGUCAAGUGCCAUGUCUCUUAUUCGUGAGAUUCCUUGUAUGAUUCUCUCAGAUCUCUCUUUUGUGGUAUUUCUGGAUCCUUACCAAGGCAGUGAUGGUAUAUGCCUUCUCUCAAAAUAUGUGGUAUUUGUGGUAUAUGUUGACGGUCCUUAAGUAUCAAAUUUAAUUAUCAAAUAAAUAAAGAAAAGGAUCCAAACGCAACCAACACCUAGAAUUAGGGUUUGAUCUGACAGAAUUCCACGAGUUUUGGUGUUUGUCUAUUUCUGCAGGGGGUUAUCAGGAAAUAAGGAAGAAAGGCCCACAUGUCGGGAUUACAUAGAGAUAUCAACGCACCGCGCAAUUUUCUACCAUCUAGAAGACUCCAGAAGCCACGGGAAGAAAGCAGAGGCCGAAAGGGGCCAGGCCCAGGGCGCCCGCCCUCCUUCCCUGGGCGCCCGCCCUGACCUGGACUCCGUUCGGGACUCUCUUCGCACACGAUGUUCCACCGACCUAAAGGAUCAAGGAUAACGUAGUACCACAUCGCCUACCGACCCAAAAAACGCAUAGAGGAGGAGGACUAUAUAAGGAGACCCCCUGGCCCCUGGAGAAGACAAGAAGUUAUCAUAGAGUUGAGGGGUGCCCUCGAAGGAAAACCUCUUCUCUAAAUAAUAUUUUUUUAGGCUUAGCAACCAAUGUGAGUAGAAAUAGAUCUUCUAGUUUCUACUAGAUUGAGAGAGAUAGAGUGGAGGUGUAGAUCGGAGGAAGGCCGGCCUGUCGGUGUCUACUCCGAGUUGUACCUACGGGGUCAAGUCUCCUAACCCGAGGCUUGCUUCUAAGAUUCUUCAGUAAUUCGACUUCUAAUUCUAGUAAGUUCUUGUUUUAUUGUUCUUUGGUUUAUGAGUUUACUUUAAUCCUCUUCCGGUUGAGUAUUAGAGUAAUCAUUGCUAGCAUGAACGUGGUGUUUAGGCUAGGGUACUCAUAGAUAUCCCCUGACUAGCUGGACCGUGCUAGUAGCGAGGAACGUGACAUUUCCGAGUUACCUUUGUAUCCCAUAUCUUGUUAGCAGGACGGGUAGGUUUAUAGGUGCGGGUCGAACAUCCUUUGUGGUGUCUAGAUUCCGUAUGCCUCCCUAAUAGAACAGAAGAUCAUCCUUACUAAGGUUAGAACGAGACUACGGUUGCAGUCUUCUCUAUACAUCACUCACAUCGAGAAACAUUCUUUGUAGCCUAAAGGGAUAGUAGCAAUAGAUUUGGUUAGUCAGAUGCACCCUUUCUCCGAGUGGUAAAAAUAUAAAUACGAUAACUCUGGAUAACCUCUCGGGUGAAAUGCCCACCGAUAUCCGUGCGCUUGCGGAUCAUUUCCUUAUUGCGUUACCAAAUAUCAACAAGCAUUUCUGGCGCCGUUGCCGGGGAGAAAGACGGUUUGCUGAGAUAACUUUGAGUCUUGCUAUUAUCUUGUUUUAUACUUUUAUUCUUUUUAUUUUUAUGGAUAACUCAAAUUCCAUACCUAUUAUUGAAUUCUUUGCACCUUCGGAGACCAGCCAUAGACCAUGGGAGUCAACAAGUCCUGCCCCUAAUUAUGAUAUGUGUCCGGAGUUGAUUGCAAUAGGUCAAAACCAACCCUUUUCUAUAGCCGAGGUCCUAUCUUUUAAUCAAGAAGAUAAUGCACUUUUAGCUACACCUAGGGAAUCUGUUAAUCUUUCUAUAAAUUCUGGUUUAGACCUAGCCCUACAAGACCAUGUUUUUUCUCGAUAUUUUCAUAUUGGUCUUAAUCAUAUAACCUUUGGUAGAGUCUUUCUUUCUUUAUCUAUUAGAAAAGGAAGGUAUGUCUUCAUUUGUGGACAUCCUUCUUGUACUAGUCCUCAUAAAAAAAUCUUAGAGAUAGAGAAGGAAUCAUCUCCCAAACAAGGAAAGGAAGUUUCAAUAGCCGAUUUCCAAACAUUCCAAUCCCAUGAUUCGGCUAUCCAACCCAUCCUUGAGCCUAAUAACUUCUACUAUUCUCUUUCUCCUGAACCUCCCGAUAAUCCUAUGAAUCUCUCUAGACAUCCCAUGCAUAAGAGUCACCAAGACCAUAAGGAGGAUCGAGAAGAGCAACAUCAAUGGCUAGAGGGCAUAAAAAAUCCAUGUGCUAUCACCACAUUUGAGAUCUCCAACCCUCUCUUCUUUUCUAUUUAUAAAAACUUUAAAAGAGCGGUUGUCGAUGCAUAUGUCUAUAAUAAAUAUUGCAGAUCUCAUUGCGUUGAUUGAUGGUUUCCCAAGGACAAGCUUAGUGUCCUAAAACAAGCACUUAUCAGAUCGUAACAUGAACUUCUAAUUAUUUGCAAAAUUGCCUUGUGUAUUGAGCAUAUAAAGAUAAUUGUAGAAAUAUUCCUUCGGGUAUUCUUGCCACUAACCUUUCUAGGAUUGGAGCAAGAAGAUCGGAUGAAUGACAAGCACAAGGUAUGUCCAACCAAUCAUCAUGCAACAUUGAAUUAAAUUCAUCCAACAUUGAAUUUUGCAAAAUUCAAGCUUGGGGGAAAUACCUUACAUAAAAACAUCAUUUGCCAUGUUGCUAUGUUGGUUGUCCUUACCUUUGAGACAUGCUCAAUUUGUUAAAUACUAAUUACACUACUUCACCUCCACUUGAGUGAAUCUCUAUAAAUGCUGUCAUGCUACCUUUGUCUAUUUACUAGCAAGUGUUGGUUUGGAAGUACUCGACAUACUUCCAUUGGCAUUUAAAUUAAGCAUGGUGCUUAGGUUAAAUAGCCUUCCUUAAUCUGAUUAGACAUGGAGUCUAGUUUGGUUACUGAACUAAAAACUGCUUGAGUAGAUAUUGGUAUAUUUUGUGGGACUAACACCUGCAGGAAAACUUUCAAUAUCAACCUGGGAAGUCCUGAGAUAAACUCACAUUGGAGAUGAAGAAAGUGACACUUGAAGUUUAACAAUUUGCACAAGAAAGACGUAGCUCAUAAGAGAUGAUUCAUGGAGGGUGCCACAAACACGAUGCACAACUGCUAAGAAAGGAAAGCUUCCACAAGGUGAUACUGUACCGUCACUCUUCAAGUAAGGUAACAUUUUAAGGUACUUGACUAUCACUUUUAUAAGUUUCUCCUUGGUUCUAGCAUUCACAUAAAUAAAGAGACAAACAUGUAUGAUUUGUAGCUCCAAUUAACCAACCCAAUUAAUUCAGCAUGUUUAGUCUUUUAAUCUUUGUUCUUAGUACUACCUUCAUGAUCCCACACUCCUAAUCAUAUAAGCUAAAAUGUUGCACAUUCAAUCUUUGGAAGAUAUAAACAAAACAUAAAUAUAGAUAGAUUAUCUUUCCAUUAGGUCGAGCCAUCUGAUCUGACAAAUAUUUUAAAUGCUACACUCAUGAUCCAUCAACUUUGUCUUGCUCACUAUGUUUAAGGUUAGAGAAGAACAAAUACACUUUUGGUUCUGUUGGUGUUUUCCACCAACAGGGCCCAUGCACUUGAUCUCUGCCUUGUCUCUAUGAACAGGUACACUUCGAGCAAAACCUGAAGGAGUUUUACAACUCCCAGACUCCACCAAGUAAAGGACUUGGAUCUACAAGCACAAACACACUAAGCAGGAUAUUGCCAACACCGCACUUCGAACUGCUGAGCAAACAAAGAACAUGGAUGACUCCGUAUAAAGAGGUGCAGACAUCAAGGUCCACACCUAAUCAAAUGAUGCACCUAAAGGAUGAAGACGAUGAGAAGUCUUGUCUAGAAGAUUUAAAACUUUGGAUCCUUGUCGGAGGAGGUCAAGAUCGUCGACUCAAGUCACCUUUCUUGAUCAAGAAGGACGACCCUGGUGUUCCAAGCAUUGAGUGCACAAUCAACAGAUACUCUUUUUAGAAGACACUCUACGACACCGGAUCUAACGUCAACAUAAUGGCCGCAGUCACUUAUCAGCUCCUGCAUGAAACUAUGCCCCUACAACCAAUAUACAUUCAGCUCCAGAUGAUUUUUAGGUCAUUGACAUGGGAGAAGACGAGUACGAUCCACCCACCAUCCUUGGAAGACUGUUCCUCAACACUAUCAAAGCAAUCAUCUACAUUGGAACCGGAGAAGUCCACAUGUACUUCCCCUCUGAGAAGGUACGCAGCUAUUUUACUGACCAUAACUAUAUAGUUGAAGACUCUAAGCAGGUCAGGACAAGAAGACGACGCAACCGCAACCAGAGGAGGCAAAUCAUCAAGAACGGAUGGGUAGACUACGAAGGAGAAGUGAUAAGGACUGAAGACAUACAACUUGAACAGAACUGUCCUGAGCAGACCGUAGCACCGAGUCAGGUGUGGAGAGAGAAGAUAGUUAUACACGAAGAGGAGGCGCCGCCGAAAUCACCGACUACGCCACCUAGCGAAUCCCAGGACGACUGAAAACACAAGAAGUCCCGUUCGGAGGACUUAAAAACACCGAACGCCUUGCCAAGAGGUAAACUUGGUAGUUAUCCUUUUCCAUUCAAUAGUUUGCUUAGUUAAUCAGGUUCAUGCUAUCUUGAAAAGAAAAUAAAAAUGUUAAAAAAAUAGUAAGCCCCAUGUGAGUAUGCUCAUGGCAUAAAACCCAUAAGUACAUUCACUGUGGUGGCAUAAAAAUAAAAUAAAUAAGUUUUCAUCUUACAAUAAAAUAAUAAGUGCAUGAUCCUGCUAAAUAAGUAAUAUUUAUUGAGGAGGCUCAACAUGAUAAAGGCUAGAUAUUUAUGCUAACACUUAACCAGUUCCACAAAAUUUUGUUGUCUAUUUGAGCUCCACAGGAUUCAAGGAUCAAAAAAACGAGACUAGCAGACGAAGGACAUCCUAAUCGCUGUCAGGAUGCUGCCGACUUUCAAAUACACCUCCAUCACCUGCUAGCUACAUCAGAAGAAAUUACGUCAAAAUCCAGCUUGGGGGAGAGCACCCCCAUUAAUCCAGCUAAGUGUUUUUACUCGCGUUUAUACUUUACUCAAAUAAUAAAAUAUUCAUAAUCAUAAAAAACCCAAAUAAAGAUUUUGUGCUUUUAUAUAUAUCUUUACUUAGUUUGCUAAAUAAAUAAAUAAAUAAAGUUUGCUAUGAACCCUCAUGAUAAAUGCUCACAUGGAAAUGAUGAAUAGUUGCUCUGCCAUGACUAGUUCUUAAAAUUGAAAUCUCUCUUAAGUUUAGGCAUAACUGUUAUAAUUUAAACCUGCUCUAAACCCGAACUUGUGGGAAGAGUACUUGAUCUAAAGUCUAAGUUGUUAACGGGUAUGAUAUGGAAAGGUUGAGCUGCUGUUUAUCUGUUCCUAGAGAUGCCAGAAUUCUGGAGAAUUUUAUCUUUAAAAAAUCUUUAAAAUAUCACAUGAUGAGUUCCUCUAUGAUGAGAGUUUAAAUUCCUACCACAGCCAUAUAUACAUGCUUAUUAGACUGUGAACCAUAUAUUUACUUUUUACUGCUUAUGAGCAUUGAGUAUGGUCAAACUGUGUAGACCCUAAGGAGCUUGUCAUGUGGUUAAAAUCAAGAUUCACUUGCACGUUCACUCAUACAUGCUACUUCUACUCCGGAAGUACCAUCCACAUAUAUCCACUUAUUUCCAUCUCCAGAACCACACAAAAACAUUCUACUCCUAAUCUGGGAAAGAAUGGCCAAAAAUAUUUCUGUUUUUCCCUGUGGAAUAAAUGCUCCAGUUAUUUUGGUUACUACCACUUGCUACAUUCUUUCAGGAGAUGGGUGCUCUAAAAAAAGAGAAAAACAAUAAUACGAGGAAAUAAAAAGGGGCAAGUGCCCGGAACCUCGAAGAAAAGAAAAAGUGAGACGAGAGGUAAAAAUGGACAAGUGUCCGACAGUAGAAUUAGGGGUACAAGAUACCCACCUGAGAGGAAAGAAAAAGAAAAUAUAGAGCAUCUAAUUCUCCCCAAAAAGCUUCAAAGUGCAAGAAAGGUAUGUAUCCCCUUAAAAGAGUAAAAAUAGAAUUAGACUUUCACCAUUGUUAUCACCAUCAUCACCAUACACCCACCACACAUGCACAUCUUGAUUUGACUUAUUGACUUGUUUCUCUGGAUCCAUGGUUUGACUAUGCGAUAAAUGUCAUGUAAGUAUGUAUUAGCUGUCUCCCACCUAUGAGCUCCAGAUAUCAAACCUUAUUAGAGUAGGGUGAGAGAGAAGGCAAUAUCACUAUGCCUCAUAGCACAAAUACUACAUACUUUGAGAGAAUGCAUAUACCAUUACUGCCUUAGUAAGGAUCUAGAAAUACCACAUAAGAGAGAUUUGAGAGAAUCAUAUAAGGAAUCUCUGAGUUUUAUUUGAAAAUCUGCAAAAACUCCAGAGCUAUAGCUGAUCAAGAAUAAGAGACAUGACGCUUGACUUGACCGUUCUAUCUUUUAACUGCUCAAGACACAAGUGACGGUUACAAGCCCCAUGGUGAAAGGUAAAAUGAGUAAGUUUUAAGUCUUAACAGUUUAUUCUAACUCAGAGAUGAGAUCUUGCUUGAAUGCGUGUGUACUUUUAAGGCAUGAAACCACUGCAGAAACUCUUGAGUCCAUCCUUGCUCAGGGACGAGCAAGAGGUAAGCUUGGGGGAGUUUGUUGACGGUCCUUAAGUAUCAAAUUUAAUUAUCAAAUAAAUAAAGAAAAGGAUCCAAAUGCAACCAACACCUAGAAUUAGGGUUUGAUCUGACAGAAUUCCACGAGUUUUGGUGUUUGUCUAUUUCUGCAGGGGGUUAUCAGGAAAUAAGGAAGAAAGGCCCACAUGUCGGGAUUACAUAGAGAUAUCAAUGCACCGCGCAAUUUUCUACCAUCUAGAAGACUCCAGAAGCCACGGGAAGAAAGCAGAGGCCGAAAGGGGUUAGGCCCAGGGCGCCCGCCCUCCUUCCCUGGGCGCCCGCCCUGACCUGGACUCCGUUCGGGACUCUCUUCGCACACGAUGUUCCACCGACCUAAAGGAUCAAGGAUAACAUAGUACCACAUCGCCUACCGAUCCAAAAACGCAUAGAGGAGGAGGACUAUAUAAGGAGACCCCCUGGCCCCUGGAGAAGACUAGAAGUUAUCAUAGAGUUGAGGGGUGCCCUCGAAGGAAAACCUCUUCUCUAAAUAAUAUUUCUUUUUAGGCUUAGCAACCAAUGUGAGUAGAAAUAGAUCUUCUAGUUUCUACUAGAUUGAGAGAGAUAGAGUGGAGGUGUAGAUCGGAGGAAGGCCGACCUGUCGGUGUCUACUCUGAGUUGUACCUACGAGGUCAAGUCUCCUAACCCGAGGCUUGCUUCUAAGAUUCUUCAGUAAUUCGACUUCUAAUUCUAGUAAGUUCUUGUUUUAUUGUUCUUUGGUUUAUGAGUUUACUUUAAUCCUCUUCCGGUUGAGUAUUAGAGUAAUCAUUGCUAGCGUAAACGUGGUGUUUAGGCUAGGGUACUCAUAGAUAUCCCCUGACUAGCUGGACCGUGGUAGUAGCGAGGAACGUGACAUUUCCGAGUUACCUUUGUAUCCCAUAUCUUGUUAGCAGGACGGGUAGGUUUAUAGGUGCGGGUCGAACAUCCUUUGUGGUGUCUAGAUUCCGUAAGCCUCCCCAAUAGAACAGUAGAUCAUCCUUACUAAGGUUAGAACGAGACUACGGUUGCAGUCUUCUCUAUACAUCACUCACAUCGAGAAACAUUCUUUGUAGCCUAAAGGGAUAGUAGCAAUAGAUUUGGUUAGUCAGAUGCACCCUUUCUCCCAGUGGUAAAAAUAUAAAUACGAUAACUCUGGAUAACCUCCCGGGUGAAAUGCUCACCGAUAUCCGUGCGCUUGCGGAUCAUUUCCUUAUUGCGUUACCAAAUAUCAACAGUAUAAAGCAUAGUGAGAUUGUCUUCUCUCUCACCCUACUCUAAUAAGGCUUUAAUAUCUGGAGCUCAUAGGUGGGAGAUAAAGUAUACAUACUUACAAGACAUUUAUUGUAUAGUCAAACCAUGGAUCCAAAGAAACAAAUCAAUAAGUCAAAUCAAGAUGUGGAUGUGUGGCGAAGGAAUGGUGUAUGGUGAUGAUGGUGAUAACAAUGGUGAAAGUCUAAUUCUACUUUUGCUCUUUUGAGGGGAUACAUACCUUCCUUGCUUUUUGAAACUUUAUGAGGAGAAUGAGAUGCUCUAUCUUUUCUUUUCUCUCAGGCGGGUAUCUUGUACCCCUAAUUCUACUGUCGGACACUUGUCCAUUUUUACCUCUCGUCUCACUUUUCUUUUCUUUCGAGGUUCCGGGCACUUGCCUCUUUUUAUUUCCUCGUAUCUUCUUUUUUUUAGAGCACUCAUCUCUUGAGAUAAUAUAGCAAGUGGUAGUAACAAGAUAACUUGAGCAUUUAUUUCACAAGGGAAAAACAGAAAUACUUUUGGUUAUUCUCUCCCGGAUUAGGAGUAGAAUAUUUUUUAGGUGAUUCUGGAGAUGAAAUGGGUGGAUAUAUGUGGAUGGUACUUCUAGAGUAGAAGUAGCAUAUAUGAGUGAACGUGCAAGUGAAUCUUGAUUUAACCACAUGACAAGCUCCUAAGGGUCUACACAGCUUGACCACACUUAAUGCUCAUAAGCAGUAAAUAGUAAAUGUGUGGCUCAAAGUCUAAUAAGCAUGUAAAUAUGGGUGUGGUAGGAAUUUAAACUCUCAUCAUACAGGAACUCAUCAUGUAAUAUUUUAAAGAUUUUUAAAGAUAAAAUUCUCCAGAAUUCUAGCGUCUCUAGGAACAGAUAAAUAGCAGCCCAACCUUCCCAUAUCGUAUCCGUUAACAACUUAGACUUCAGAUCAAGUUUUUAUCCCACAAGUUUAGGUCUAGAGCAAGCUUUAAAUUAUAACAGUUACGUCUAAACUUGAGAGAGAACUUAAAAUGUUCAAAUUAGACAGAGCAACUAUUCAUCAUAUCCAUGCUUGAGUUUUAUUUAGAUACAGAUUAGCAUAGCCACUUUAUUUAUUUAUUAAACACACUAAGCAAAAGAUAUAUAUAUAUAUAUAUAUAUAUAUAUAUAUAUAUAUAUAUAUAUAUAUAUAUAAGCACAAAAUCUUUAUUUGGUUUUCCAUAGUUAUGUAUAUUUAAAUUCUAAUAUAAUAUAAGUAUAAAGAUAGAUAGAAAUACUUAUCGGGAUAAAUGGGGGUGCUCUCCCCCAAGCUGAAUUUUGACGUAAUUUUUCUUGAUGUAGCUAGCAGGUGGCAGAGGUGUAUUUGAAAGUCAGCAGCAUUCUGACAACGAUUAGAAUGUCCUCCGUCUGCUAGUCUUCUUGAUUCUAAAAUUCUGUGGAGCUCAAAUAGACAACAAAGCUUGUGGAACUGAUUAAGUGUUAGCAUAAAUAUCUAGCCUUUAUCAUGUUGAGACUCCUUAAUAAUUAUUACUCCCUGUUUUUAUAUUUUCGUUUUAUAAAGCAGAAUAGAAAUAUUUAUUUUAUUUUUAUGCCACAUUGUGAAUGUACUUAUGGGUUUUAUGCCACUCGUAUACUCACAUGGGGCUUACUAUUUUUCACAUUUUUAUUUUCUUUUUAGGAUAGCAUGAACAUGAUUAACUAAGUAAACUAUUCGAAAUAAUUAAAAGGGAAAGGAUAACUACCAAGUUUACCUUUUGGCAAGGCGUUCGAUGUUUUUAAGUCCUCUGAACGGGACUCUCCAUUUUCUCAAUUGUCCUGGGAUUCAUUGGGUGGCGUAGUCGGUACUUCCGGCGGCGCCUCUUCUUCAUGUAUAGUUAUCUUCUCUUUCCACACCUGACUCGGUGCUACGGUCUCCUCACGAUAGUUCUGUUUAAACUCUACGUCUUCUGACCUUACAACUUCUCCUUCAUAGUCUGCCCAUCCAUCCUUGAUGAUUUGCCUCCUCUGGUUGCGGUUGCGUCGUUUUCUUACCUGCUUACUGUUGACACUAGCUAACACCACUUAGAUACUAGGUUGUCAUCCCUAGCAUGGCGCCAGAGUGUACAAAGGUAUUUAUAAAUGUAAAGGCUCUCUAGAAAAUAAUCUAUUCUAUCCGUAAGCGCACAGAUAAAACACCUCAUUGUAGCAUUUCACCAGGAUAAGUAUUCCAGCUAUCGUUAUUUAUAAUUUUGCUCUAGGGAUCUAAAGAAGAUGGAAUUAAAUCAAGGGACAAAAUCUAUCAAGGCAUAGACUAGAGAUAAACUUGCAAGAACAUGAUUACUAAUGAGAAACUCGUCACACAGUCACUUACUUUAGCAGGGGGUAAACCAUAAAGAUAAUGAUAAUAAAGUAUAAGUUCAUGGGUAGAUAGCACAGCGAUUAGAAAAUAGACUACUCCUCAUAUAUGUAGGUGAUGUCGGAUUAGCUAGAGAAUGGAUUCUAAGUUAUCUACUAACUACUAAGUCAUAAUCUACUCUAGUUAUCUACAAGAUCAUAUAUAGCAUAAAAGACUCUUCAUUCAUGUAUAAGGAACAUUGAUAAAGUAAAUCAGAACAUCGCAUGACUUACUCCACAAUACCGGUUCUGCCUGUCCUAGCAACGGAGGGUGGACUAUAUAAGAAUCAACGAAGCUGUCACUAUCGCGAACUACCACACGACUCGGCCAAUAGGAUACAUUUGCAGAUAAAUAACAUCUAAACACCACGCUCACAUGUGAUCUAUCACUUAACUCCCUCGCGACAAGAGCUAAGCGCUUUGCAAACUUAUACAUAAACUCAUUAUCAAUUAGAACUAUAUCAAAUAUAGAACUAGAGCAAACUAAGAACAUAAUAAUUAGAGACAUAAUGCAAUUAGAACAAUAGAAUUAGAGAAAUAUAUGAAUAAUACCAAUCUUUAUUACCGAAGAUCCGAAUCCAGAGCGUAGUGCUCUACUUCUCUAAAUGCUAUCUAAUCAACCUCUAAACUUGAAGGAUUAGGGAGUAGCUAAUUCUAAUUCUUUGUGGGAGAGAAGCUCUAAACCCUAACUUUGAUGGCUACCUCUGAAUAAUGAUUUCUCCUCCUCUCCUCUAGGGGCCAGGGGGUCUGGUUUUAUAGUCCCCUCAAGUGAACGUGAGCCAUUGGAUCAAACCGACAUAGAUUGUAUGGUUUAGAUUGAUCCUUUAGGUCGGUGGAGUCUUGCCCCGAAGCAGAGUCCUGGUUGGAAUCCAACCCUGGGCGGGCGCCCAAGGGGGGUGAGCGGGCGCCCUACCCCCGAGCCCGAAUCGCUUCCCGUUCGUUCCCGUGGCUUCUGGAUCCUUCUAGAUUGAGGAAAAUUACGCGGCACGUAAUUAUCUCGUUGUAAACAUGACAUGUGGGUCUUCUCUCCAUAUUUUCUGAUAAACCCCUGCAGAAAUAGAUAAACACCAAAACUCGUGGAAUUCUGUCAGAUAAAACCCUAAUUCUAGAUGUUUGUUUCAUAUUGAUCCUUUUUCAUGUUUAUUUGAUUAUUAAUUUUAGUACUUAAGGACCGUCAACAAACUCCCCCAAGCUUACCCUUUGCUCGUCCCUGAGCAAACAGCUAAACUCAGAUGGAUCAGGAGUUGCUUCGAUGUUUUCUUUUCUGACAGACACACAUGCUUUUACAUAAAAAUUCUUCCAGAUUAAAGUGAAGUGUUAUGAAGUUUAGUACCUGCACUUAAAUCUUAAGUAAUCGAAAGACAAAAUAGUUAAGUCAAGCACUAUCCCUCCUGUCUAUACUUCACCUUUAUUCUAGAGUUUUUCAUAAGUUUUCAAAAUAAAACUCAGAGUUCCCAGCAAUAAUCUCUCAAGUCUCUCUAUAUGUGGUAUUUGUGGAUCCUUACCAUGAUAUCACUUACCUAUAGCUAAUGGAAUAUUUAAGUGGAGCUCAUAGGAGUGAAAAACAGCUCAUACAUAUGUUGUCUAAUCGAGCCAUGGAUCCAAAGGAACUCAGCAUAUAAUUAAAUCGAGAUGUGCAUGUGUGAUGGAGUAAAUGAUAAUGAUGGUGAAAAUGCAUAAGUGAUAAUAAUAAAAUUUAGUUCUCAUUGCUCCUUAUAUUGCUAUCUCUCCUCUUCUUUGAUCUUUGCUUUGGGAGAACAUGGGCUAUCUUUUUCUUUCUUCUUUCUUCUUUUUUUUUCAGGUGGGUAAUAGAUACCCCUAAUUCUACUGUCGGACACUUGUCCAUUUUUUCCGCUCAAGUGGGCAUCUUUGUACCCCUAAUUCUACUUCGGACACUUGUCCAUUUUUACCUCUCGUCUCACUCUUUUUCUUUCUUUUUCGAGGUUCCCGGGCACUUGCUCCUUUUUAUUUCGUCGCAUAUUUUUGCAUAACCCAUGCCUCUUCUGCAUUGAAUCUUUUUAGAGAGAGAGAAUAACAAUAUUCGAGACAGUGAGUAAAAAUAUUUUUAGCAAUUUUAAUGAUUGAUGAUGGAUGCUGUGGUAGAUGUGUGCAAGUGAAUAUCUUAAUUUAACCACAUGAAAAGCUCCUAAGGGUCUACACAGCUCGAUCAAACUCAAUGUAAAUAUAGUAAAAGAUGUUAUAGCAAGUAUGGCUGUGGUAUGUAAUUUUGUUAUGCUAGGAACUCAUCAUGUGAUUUGUAAGUUUUCAAAAAUAAAUCUCUAGAACUUAGUGUAGUAGGAACAAGAUAAACAGGAGCUCAACUUUAUAGCAUGCCUCUCUCUUACCUAGACUUUAGUUUUAUGCUUCCCAAAGAUAGUAAUUUUAGUUUUAGUAAUUCCUGGAAGAACUCUAAUAUAAAAGCUAGGUACUUGUAAGUAAGCAAACAGAGCAAUUGUUCAUCAUUUCCAUCAUGUAUCUUUUUGGUCUUUUUUAUUUUUUUCUAGAGAUUAAACUUAGCAGAUAAAAUAAAGCACACUUAUCUACACACUCUUUUUAUUUUGUUUUUAUGUUUAUAGAAUGCAGUCAAUUAAAGCAAGAAAAUAUUUAUUUGGUUUUCUAAGUUUUUCCUUUAAGAUAAAUUAAAUACUAGAAUAGAAAAGAAUAAAUAAGAAGAGCAAAUAGAAACUUACUUGAUAAAUUUAGGGAGGAACUCCCCCAAGCUGGAUGUUGACGUCGGUCUUACCCGAUGUUCCAGAACCGCAUCAUGGUUGUGAUGUUAUCGUUCAUUGUUGUUGUAUCUUGUCUCAGCUCUUGUACCGCAGUGGCAUGGUCCUGGUUCCAUUUUUGUUGCUCUUCCAGGAGUCUUCCAUGUUCUGCUUGCGUGUUCUGGAUGUCGAGGAGGGUGUUGUCGGUACGAGUGAAGAAAGCACCGGCCUCUUGAUAGUAGUCAUUCGUGAAGGCGUAGGAGGCAUCGGAGUAUCGUCCUGCAUCAAAUUGGGGUGGAGGUCUGGAUCCUGAAGCUCCAUAUGGAUCAGUGGAGUACCUGCCCGUAUGAAAAGGCGGGUUUGUCCACUGGUGAUCUUGGCUCUCCGGCCAUGUCUCCUCUGUUGGCUCUUGUGGUUGCGCAUGACGAGCCCAUGGGUCUCGAAGGACUCGAGGGUUGUAAUCGCAAUAAUGCAGGUGUGCUGCUUCUUCUGGUCCAGGGUCAGCUCCAUACCAAGUGCGUUCUCGGUGAGUGGUUAUCCUUUCAGAUGCCACUCGCUGUGGAGUUCUCUGGUUCACUGGUGUUGCUGCAAUCUCAAUCAAAAAGUUUUGCACAGAGUAGAGGCCAAGGUUCGGGUUAGGUAACCGAAUCUUGCUUUUAUCAUCAUACAACAUGUACAUUAUAUUUCCCUCUUUCUUUAACAUCCGAGCUUGUCUAAAUGUGUCAUAGCCUUGAUAAAUUCUUAAUUCUUCUAUGAAGUCCAACGAUGAGUUUUCUAAUAAAUGAAGAUUAGAGGCUAGACGAGUGAUAAGUGAAGUACAUCCUACUGGUCCCUGAAGACUAGGUAUACUAAGCCAUUGUGAAACUAAUAGUGUGACAGGUGAAGUGGGUACUUUACUAAUAGCAGCAUAUAAAAGUUGUAAAUCUCCUACUCUUACUUUCGUAAUAUCAUCGCGAUAGAAAAGAUUGUACCCAAGCCAUUUGUGAAACAUCCUAAGAGUGGGGUGUUCCAUGUCACUGGUUCGGGCUUGACUGUAAAAAUUAUCUCUAGAUAUUUCUCUCCAAAACUGGUCUCUCUCAAAAUUGGGUAAAUCUGAGUCAAUGUUCAGGAUGCAUCUUGAAGAGAAACCAAGAUGGUCGCUCAGCUCUCUCCAAGAUAACAUAAUUUCCUGUUUAAACAUCCGAAAAGCAAUUCCCCCCUCAUAGUAUUGUAAAGUGCAAAGAAAUUCGAGGGUGAGAAGACGAGAACCCAGCUCAGUUAUAUUCCAAAAAUUUGUCCAACCCAUCAUUUGAAAAAUUAAGUCAAAUUCAGUGUCCAUACCUGUUUCUCGUAGUAGGAUUGGAUCGAUAGUAGGAGUGUGAAUGAAAUCUUUAUUCUUCAAUUGCUGAUAGACUUCCUUCUCUCUUCGGGUCUUCAAUCCAAGGUCUCCUAUCUUGAGAAGGACCUUGACUUGCUGGCCUGAUGAAGAUGAUGGAGCUUGUGUGGGUGUCGGAUCGACGCUCAUCUCUGAUGGCUGUGAGGAGUGUCGGGUUGAACUCCUUGUACCAAUGUUCUUGAGAGCCUUCCCUGCAUUUUUCACCUUCUUAAACAUCCUGCAAACAAAAGUUGGCAAAAACACAACUGGUGGAAAAUGUGAGAUAAAAUGUUGGUGGUUAGCUGUCCGGAGUGUCAGUAGUCAAGGGGUUAAUUGUUCAAGACAAGUUUCUAUUUUGGUAGAGCCUCCCCCUAAAGAACUUUUACUUCCGCUUAGACAACGGGAUCACUACUUGCUAGGUGACAAACACUCUCUCAUAAGAACUCCAACCUUCUCUUCCACUCUUCUCUUUCUUUCUACUCUCUUCUCUUUACUACAAAAGCUCCUUCUCGGGAAACUGAGAUUUGUGUGGUUUUCUGAAGUGUUUGUGUGAAGAGAAGGGGAGCUGGAGGUGGCCUUUUAUAGGAGGAAGAGGGGACAGGGCGGGCGCCCUUGGUAGGUGGGCGGGCGCCCACUUGUGAUGCCCAUCCUGGGUGUGCCUCCUCCACAUGCUUCCUUGCUUUGAUCUCACGCAGAAUAAUGUUGUGUUGGUGGUGGUUGGACGGUGGAAAGAUGUCAAGUGAGUGGAAACAUAUUGGUGGAUGAAAUUAUGUGAUGGGAUGUAUGUGAGGUGAAGUGUAUGAAAUGUGGGACCCAAAGAGUGUGGGUCAUGCUUCUAGAAGAUUAAUAUGAUUAAAUACAAUGCAGGAAAAUCUAUGAGAAUCGAAACUUAUUGAAAAUGAUAUCGGAAAAUAUUUUUGUGCCUCCAUAAUAAUUAAUAAUAUGGGUUGUUACACACCACGAAUAUUAUUUAUAUGGGGCUUUUUUUUAUUAUUAUUAUAAUUAUGCUAUGAAUGACUAAGAAUUAAUUAUGCAAGAAUUUAAAUAUGACAAAAUUAAUAAUGUGGAUAAAUACCGAUUUACCUCCCGGUGAGGGUUUGGGAUUUUUAGGUCCCCCAAGCUGGACCUCCAAUUCUUUUAAUCUUCUGAGUUACCUUCCUCCGGAGAUGAUGUCUCCAGUGGUUCUUCAUGAACUUCCUUGACUGUAGAGUCUCUCUCUGGUCUGGGUUUGAAUGUGAAGUGUUCUUCUUGACCGUUUAUGUUGAACUUGAUUUCUCCCUUCCCGACAUCAAUGUGGGCAUUGGCAGUGCUCAGAAAUGGCCUUCCAAGGAUGAUGGACACUUUCGAGUCAGGACUCAUGUCCAGUACUACGAAGUCUACUGGUACCAGGAAAUCUCUGAUCUUGACUGGAAUGUUCUCGGCGAUGCCCAACGGGUGUCGAACCGAUUGAUCCGCUAGUUGUAGGCACAUUGAUGUUGGUUCUAAGGCUGCAUGAUCAAGCUUUUUGUAGACUGAUGCUGGCAUCACACUGACACUUGCUCCGAGAUCACAAAGUGCAUUGUUGAAGUGUUGGUUUCCGAUCGAGCAAUCAAUAGUGGGACAUCCAGGAUCUUCCUUCUUCUUUGGUGGCUUAUUGAGGAUGGCCGCACUACAUUCUUCUGUCAGCUUGAUAACCUCAGUGGUGGGCAGUGGUCUCUUCUUGUUAAGAAUAUCUCUGAUGUACUUUGCAUAUGUAGGUACCUGUAUGGCAUCGAGCAGAGGUAUGUUGACAUAUAAUUUCUGAAUGACCUCUACAAACUUACCAAACUGCUCAUCCGACUGCAGUCCUCUGUUUCUUCUGGGAAAUGGCAAAUAGUUGGUGUCGUAAAAAUCUUUCCUCAUUUCUCCAGUUCUUGGUGGUUGGAGCAGAUCUUCUGCUUCAACUGGGCCUUCUUCUUCUGCUGGUUCCACUGGUGCUGAUGUUCUUUGUUUCUCUUUUGGGUAUGGUGGAUCUCUGGUAGCUUUGCCUCCUCUAGUAGUUAUAUUCUUUACCUGCUCAAUGUUAGUAGCAACAGACAGUGCAGCAGCUAUCUUUAUUAAUUUAAGUUCUACCCUUUUAUUAAGAGUGUUUUGCUCAUCAAAGGCAGUUAGUAGAAAAUUCAUUUUAUUGUGUAUAUCUUUUAGAGAUGAUUCAUUUGUAUCUAGCCUUUGUUUAACUUCAUCAUUAAUUUUGGUUUGUUGAGCAAUUAUCUCUUUUAAUGAAAGUUGCUUGACAGUAUUACCUGAAUUCAUACCUUUGCUAUUGGGUUGACUUGAAGUUGGUUGAUAUUUGUAUGCUGUCUCAAUGGCCCUUUGUUCUUCUUUGAACUUGGCCCUCUGGUCAAUCCAAUGGAGCAAAUUUUCCAUCUUAGUUGAUAAUGCUUUUACUUCUUCUGGUAUUUCUUCAGUUUGAUGACAUUGUUGAGCUUUAUCUUGGAACCAGCUUUAGUUUUCUGCUAUCUUAUCCAAAAGUAUCUCUGCUUUUCGAGUUGUAAGCUCCAAGAAUGAUCCUUUAGCAGAUGCAUCUAGGUACUCACGAGUCUUCUGGGUUAAUCCAUGGUAGAAGGUCUGCAUAAGUAACCAUGUAGUCAUUCCAUGGUGAGGACAAUCUGAUAUGUAUCCUUGAAAACGCUCCCAUGCUUCUGAAAUGGCUUCUGUCUUCUGCUGUUGGAAACUGACAAUAUUUCCUCUUAAGGCGGUUGUUUUGCCUAUAGGGAAAAACUUUGAUAGAAAGGCAUCUGACAAGUUCGUCCAGUUGUUGAUGUUAUCUUGAUGAGUGUAGAACCACUUCCUCGCUUUUCCUUCUAGUGAGAUGGAAAAAGGUGAAGCAGUAUGACGUCUUUGUCAACUCCGUUGAUGUGGAUUGUGCUCCUAAUCUCUAAGAAAUUCUGCAAGUGUGCACUGGCAUCUUCAUGUGCCUUUCCACUGAAUUGUGUAGCUUGUACCAAAUUGAUGAGGCUUGACUUGAGCUCAAACUCGGGUAUUCCUUCUUCUACUGCAAAUCUUGGACCAGUUGGAAUGUUGUCAAGACUUGGAGCAGAGAAUGCUUGCAAGGUCUUUUGUGCCAUAGCUUCAGCAAUUGGUAGCUAGCUUCUUCUUCUCUUGAUUGCUUUGGUUCUAAUGAUGAAGAGUUGAAUGUACCCAAAGUCAAUCCUGUUAUACCCUGUAUAAAAAUAUAAACAUAGAAAAACAACAGGGUGAACCUGCCAAAGCAGAGGUGCCUUGUUAUGAUUUCUCACUUAGUAGCUGUUUUAUGCAAUUAUUUCUCUAUAGUCUAGUCUAAAAUUUUAUAUGAAUAACCUUGAUUGAUUUUCUGGCUUUCCUUAAUAUUACCCUUUUGUUCCCUUUAAUGACUUAUUCCUGAGGCUCGUAUAAUUCCUAUAAGAUCCUAUAAUUCCCCGGCAACGGCGCCAGAAAUGCUUGUUGACACUAGCUAACACCACUUAGAUACUAGGUUGUCAUCCCUAGCAUGGCGCCAGAGUGUACAAAGGUAUUUAUAAAUGUAAAGGCUCUCUAGAAAAUAAUCUAUUCUAUCCGCAAGCGCACAGAUAAAACACCUCAUUGUAGCAUUUCACCAGGAUAAGUAUUCCAGGUAUCGUUAUUUAUAAUUUUGCUCUAGGAAUCUAAAGAAGAUGGAAUUAAAUCAAGGGACAAAAUCUAUCAAGGCAUAGACUAGAGAUAAACUUGCAAGAACAUGAUUACUAAUGAGAAACUCGUCACACAGUCACUUACUUUAGCAGGGGGUAAACCAUAAAGAUAAUGAUAAUAAAGUAUAAGUUCAUGGGUAGAUAGCACAGCGAUUAGAAAAUAGACUACUCCUCAUAUAUGUAGGUGAUGUCGGAUUAGCUAGAGAAUGGAUUCUAAGUUAUCUACUAACUACUAAGUCAUAAUCUACUCUAGUUAUCUACAAGAUCAUAUAUAGCAUAAAAGACUCUUCAUUCAUGUAUAAGGAACAUUGAUAAAGUAAAUCAGAACAUCGCAUGACUUACUCCACAAUACCGGUUCUGCCUGUCCUAGCAACGGAUGGUGGACUAUAUAAGAAUCAACGAAGCUGUCACUAUCGCGAACUACCACACGACUCGGCCAAUAGGAUACAUUUGCAGAUAAAUAACAUCUAAACACCACGCUCACAUGUGAUCUAUCACUUAACUCCCUCGCGACAAGAGCUAAGCGCUUUGCAAACUUAUACAUAAACUCAUUAUCAAUUAGAACUAUAUCAAAUAUAGAACUAGAGCAAACUAAGAACAUAAUAAUUAGAGACAUAAUGCAAUUAGAACAAUAGAAUUAGAGAAAUAUAUGAAUAAUACCAAUCUUUAUUACCGAAGAUCCGAAUCCAGAGCGUAGUGCUCUACUUCUCUAAAUGCUAUCUAAUCAACCUCUAAACUUGAAGGAUUAGGGAGUAGCUAAUUCUAAUUCUCUGUGGGAGAGAAGCUCUAAACCCUAACUUUGAUGGCUACCUCUGAAUAAUGAUUUCUCCUCCUCUCCUCUAGGGGCCAGGGGGUCUGGUUUUAUAGUCCCCUCAAGUGAACGUGGGCCGUCAGAUCAAACCGACAUAGAUUGUAUGGUUUAGAUUGAUCCUUUAGGUCGGUGGAGAGCUGUCCCUAUGCAGAGUCCUGAUUGGCUUCCUGGCCAGGGCGGGCGCCCAAGGGGGGUGGGCGGCCACCCAGCUCCCGAGCCCGAAUCGCGUCCCGUUCGUUCCCGUGGCUUCUGGAUCCUUCUAGAUUGAGGAAAAUUGCGCGGUACGUAAUUAUCUCGUAGUAAACAUGACAUGUGGGCCUUCUCUCCAUAAUUCCUGAUAAACCCCUGCAGAAAUAGAUAACACCAAAACUCGUGGAAUUCUGUCACAUAAAACCCUAAUUCUAGAUGUUUGUUUCAUAUUGAUCCUUUUUCAUGUUUAUUUGAUUAUUAAUUUUAGUACUUAAGGACCGUCAACACUUACAUUCUUCAACGAUAUAGUUAGGGUCAGUAAAAUAACUGCGUACCUUCUCUGAGGGGAAGUGCAUAUGGACUUCUCCAGUUCCAAUGUAGAUGAUUGCUUUAACGGUGCUGAGGAACGGUCUUCCAAGGUUGAUGGGUGGAUCAUAUUCGUCUUCUCCCAUGUUAAUAACUUGAAAGCCUGUGUAGACAAAAUGAUCGUCUAUUUUGACUGGGACAUCAGUUACUGUUCCUUUAACCUCUCGAAAUGUCUGAUCUGCCAUCUGGAGCUGAAUGUAUGUUGGUUUUAGGGGCAUGGUUCCGAACAAGAGCCGAUAGGUGACUGCGGCCAUUAUGUUGACGCCCGAUCCGGUGUCACAAAACGUCUUGUAGAAGUUGUAUCCAUUUAUGGAGCAAUAGAUGCUUGGCAUUCCUGGGUCAUCCUUCUUAGUCAUAAAUGGUGACUUAAGUCGAUGAUCUUGACCUCCAUGAACUGUAGUGACCAUCUUAGCUGACUCGGUCCACACUUGCUUGUUCCUGUUCCUCCUGUUGGUCCUCUUCCUUGAUUCACGUCUGGAUUGAUCUGGGAUUUGUGUAGUCUUGUUCUUGAAGAAAAACGUCUCCUUCCUCCCUUUGAUGUAGAAACUGAUCUUGGCAGCACUAGCGUAGAUGACAGCUUCUGAGGUGUUUAAGAAUGGCCUCCCUAAUAUGAUGGGUGCUCUCUCAUCAUUACCGGUCUCUAUCACCACGAAGUCUGCUAGGGCGUAUAAGGUACCAACUCGAACACAAAGGUUCUUCAAUAUUCCCUUUGGAAAACUUAAUGCCUGAUCUGCAAACUGCAAACACAUGGUUGUUUCGAACAAAGGAUAUGUAAAGAAUUUUUCAUAGAGUACCCUGGGUAUAAUGUUGACGCUGGAGCCAAAGUCACAGAGUGCUUCUAGGACGUCCACCAUGCCGUUAGAGAUCGGGAUGACGGGGCGUCCUGGAUCACCUCUCUUGACCGGCAGAAGGUCAGUAGUGAAUUUAGUGACGGGGUUACUCCAAUUACCUGCAUCAAACAUGUCUACAAGAUUUGCAGAUUCUAAUCCUUCCGGUUGUGAUGGUAUACUGGGGUUAGUAGCAGGAACAGCAGCAGCUAUUUGACUUAACUGAGAUUCAAUCAUUUUAUUAAAGCUAAUUUGAUUCUUGAUGGCAGUAGAGAAAUUAUCCAUUCUAUUAUUUAUAUUUUCUAGCAUUUUAUCAUUUGAUGCCAAUUUCUUAGAUAGAUUAUCCAUUAGCCUUCAUUGAUUAGACGCUAACUCUCUCAAAGGUGGAAAAUUAUUAUUAUUGUUGUAAGAAUUGUUACCUUGAUAAUUACCUGAGUAGUUAGGCCUCUGUUGAUUCCAACCUUGAUUUUGUUGAGGACGGUUGUAGUAGUAGUUGUUGUUAUUGUUGAUGUAGUUCACAUCCUCAAGCAUCUCAGGGCAGUGGUUGCCUGAGUGUCCAAUAUCUCCACACUUCUCACAAGUCAUGUGAGAGUCGUAGAUGUGCAUAACUUCCUUCUUAUCUCUAGCUCUAUCAUCGAGCUUCUUCAUGAGCAGGUCUAGCUUUGCAGACAACAUGUCUACCUCCUUGAGCUGAUGCAUACCUCCACCUUUCUUGCGUGUCUGGGUCCUUUCUUCAUUCCAGCCUUGGUUGGACACCAUCUUCUCCAUAAGAGCUGUGGCUUGUGAUAUAGUAAGUGAUAAGAAUGCUCCUCCAGCUGCAGCAUCCAUGGUCUCUCGGGCACUGUUGCUGAGCCCAUGAUAAAAUGUCUGCAUUAGUAGCCAACUCUCCAUUCCAUGAUGGGGACAUUCUAGGAUGUAUUCUUGGAAACGCUCCCAUGCUUCUGGAACAGAUUCAUCAUUUUGUUGCUGAAAACUUGUAAUCUUCCCACGGAGAGCAUUGGUCUUGCCCAUGGGAAAGAACUUAGCCAGGAAGUCUGUAGAGCAGAGUGCCCACGUAGUAUUCUUCUCCUUUGUAGCGUAGAACCACUGCUUCGCUCUUCCUAACAGUGAGAAUGGGAAGAGGCGAAGUAGUAUAGCAUCUCUGGGGACUCCUGAUAUGGUAAAUGUGUUGCAUAUCUCCAGGAAGUGUUGGAGAUGAGCACUAGCAUCUUCAUGUGCCUUCCCACAGAACUGGUUGGAUUGCACCAUGUUGAUAAGUCCAGGCUUGAGCUCAAAGUUGCCAUCAAUCUCUGCAGCAUGUCCAGUGCGGAUGUUGUCCGUAGUGGGAGCUGAGAACUCGCGGAUGGAUUUGUUCGCCAUGGCUUCGAACUCUGAAGACAAGUUCCGGUGAUCUUCUUGAUUGGAUGAAGCUUCUUGCUGAAGUGUUGAUGAUCUCUUCUUGAGCUUGGCUCUAGUUCUUCGGAAUAACGCUUCGGGAUUAUCAAUAAAAUUUCCUGGAAGAUGUCUUCUAUUCAUACAUUCCCCUGGAUAAGAUAAAAUAGAAAAAUAUCGGGGUAAAACUGUAUGAGAGAAUAGAUAAGCUCAUUCAUAUUAGUGAUGCAAAUGAUAACUCAAAAUCCUUUAUUCCAUUCUUGAUUAGUAAUCAACCUUCCCCGGCAACGGCGCCAAAAAUGCUUGUUGGGUAUUCUUAACAUCAUUACCAAAAGUAGACAGUUUUCUAAUUCUAGUAACGGUGCCAAAAAUGCCAAACCUAUCCCUCACACCACUUAAGCCAAGUUGUCAUCCCCAGCAUGACAUGAGAGACGCGGUAUUGAAAUAUGCAAUUGCUCUUCUAAAUAAAUAAUGAAUGGGAUCUGCAAGCGCACAGAUUAAUACCGAUGUAGCAUUUUAACCGGGAAGUAUUCCAGGUAUCGUUAUUUAUAUUUUUACCACUGGGAAGGGAUUAACAAUCAUCAAUAUUGAUUAUAGAAUAGAAUAUGAUAUUGAGUAUCUAUCAUUGCAUGUAUAAUUGAGAACAUUUAUCUAACUCUUUCAUACAUGGAUAAGUGUCACAUAAAAGAUAUAUGAAAUAAUGAAUAGUGACAAAGAUAAUUAAUCUGAUCAUAACUAGCCACAUAAUAAAUAUGAUAAGCAUUGUUGACGGUCCUUAAGUAUCAAACUUAAUUAUCAAAUAAACAAAGAAAAGAAUCCAAAUGAAAUCAACAUCUAGACUUUGGGUUUUAUGUGACAGAAUUCCACGAGUUUUGGUGUUUGUCUAUUUCUGCAGGGGGUUAUCAGGAAAUAAGGAAGAAAGGCCCACAUAUCAGGAUUACAUAGAGAUAUCAACGCACCGCGCAAUUUUCUACCAUCUAGAAGACUCGAGAAGCCAUGGAAAGGAAGCAGAGGCCCAAAGGGGCCAGGCCCAGGGCGCCCGCCCCCCUCUGGAUGCCUUUCGGGACUCUUUUCGCACACGAUGUUCCACCGACCUAAAGGAUCAAGGAUAACGUAGUACCACAUCGCCUACCGACCCAAAAACGCAUAGAGGAGGAGGACUAUAUAAGAAGACCCCCCUGGCCCCUGGAGAAGACAAGAAGUUAUCAUAGAGUUGAGGGGUGCCCUCGAAGGAAAACCUCUUCUCUAAAUAAUAUUUCUUUUUAGGCUUAGCAACCAAUGUAAGUAGAAAUAGAUCUUCUAAUUUCUACUAGAUUGAGAGAGAUAGAGUGGAGAUGUAGAUCGGAGGAAGGCCGGCCUGUCGGUGUCUACUCCGAGUUGUACCUGCGGGAUCAAGUUUCCUAACCCGAGGCUUGCUUCUAAGAUUCUUCAGUAAUUCGACUUCUAAUUCUAGUAAGUUCUUGUUUUAUUGUUCUUUGGUUUAUGAGUUUACUUUAAUCCUCUUCCGGUUGAGUAUUAGAGUAAUCAUUGCUAGCGUAAACGUGUUGUUUAGGCUAGGGUACUCAUAGAUAUCCCCUGACUAGCUGGACCGUGGUAGUAGCGAGGAACGUGACUGUCACACCCAAAUUUAAGGAUAAAUUUGAGUACAAUAAUCUCAUGUGCGCCCUAGGAAUAGUCGCGCACACAAGUCGACAAAUUACAAAUGUAUCAUCACAAGUGUCUUACAAAACGUUAUUACAACACAAAUAUAUCAAAGUCUGCGACAAACGGAAAAUAAACUCAUAACUAACUAUGGUAAGAUAACUCCAACACAGGGACGACCGACUGGGAAUCGCCAACCUAGAAGUCCUCAGGGAAUUCCUCGUAGUAGCUGUCAUCUGUUACCCAUCCGGGAUUUUGUCCAAAAAGAAAGAUAAAGACAAGCGUGAGUACAUCUAGUACUCCGCAAGCAUAACAUAGGAUAUUAUGCGGCUCAAAGAGGUCAGACACUGGCUACUGCAGUUAGCAUUUUAAUUGGUCAAUAUUUUAAUCCUAUUUAAUCAUCAAUUAUGCUCAAGCUCCCGAUUAGCCCAAAUGAGCACAUGAUAAUAACAACGUUAACCUUCACGGCUAACACCAUCACCAUCACGGUUAAACCACAUUAAUCAUCACGAUCAAUGUGUCAGAUUUUCAUAAGUUAUUUCCCAUAACCAUCCACACCCAACUAUUCCGUAAGGGUCCAAGGCCGCUCAUGUCCGAGAGCACGGCUAGUAUACCAGUUUGAUCAAACUCUGCGCAGAGGUGUGCACUUUUCCCGUAAGUCGUGUUACCCAUAUGCCCGGGGUUUGCAAGACCCACUAACACUGCCAAGGUGAGCGGGCAAGGAACACUAUGAAGCCUUCCAUAGGCCACGUCUAACCAGCUAGGGCCGCGAGGUUUCCUCGACAGGCAGAUAUAGAGAACUCCCCUUUCCUAUGGCACAUUUCCAUCACGGCUAUACACAUAGGAACAGAAGCAAUUCUAUACCCAAAGUGGCAAGCCCCUCUUGCGCCCUUUCGGGUAGCCUCUAACCAGCUAGAUGAGAUCCUAUUACUGAGCUAAAGUUAGAGCCAUAUAACCAUCACGGUUGCACUGUAAGUCCCGGAUAGUCGCUUACAGAGAAGUCCUUAAGGAGGGUCUAGGUCAACUCGACCGAAGUCAAUUGCACCAUAGCCCUUUUUCCCAACAUUUAUCAUCAUACUCAUUAAAGUCAGAGUGAUAGUAAAUUCUUAAUUAAUUAAAGCACUAGCAAAGCUACCCACAUGCAUUCUACCCAUAGGUGUCAUAAAUAUAUAGUCAGGUAGCUAGGAUGUCCUUAGGGUUACCAAAUUAGACACAUGCAGAUGCGUAAUUAAUUAAGUGAAUAGGUGUACAAGGGAAACCCAUGUUAUACUUGCCUUCAGUGAAGGGGAACUGCUGCUGGUCCUGCUGCUCCUCGUAGUAAAAUGGAUCACCCACGGACACGUCACCGUCUGCGCUCGAUCGGUACCACACAACAACACGCAUCCAGGUUCAUUCAUACAAGCAAACAAUCAUUUAAUUAGAACAGUACACCAACAGAUCAAAAUGAAAUAAAAUACUUAAAAACAGAACCUACGAUUCGCUACGAUCACAUUGGUACGAAGAUCACGAAAAUUGGAGCUAAAACGACCAAGUUACGACUUUCCGGCGAUUUCCUAUAGGCAUUUAAUUAAUUAAACCUAACCCUGAAAAUAAAAAGUUGCAAACUACAGAAACAGUGGUACUAUCAUGUAGAGAAUUUAAUUACGAAUCUAACGCAAUUUGAACGGGUCAAAUCGGAGCUAUAACGAAUAUUUUAUGACCAAAACAAGUUCAGUGGCAAUUCUGUAAUUUCCUGAAAGCGUAUUUUGACCUAACCGACGGAUAAUACGUUUUCUAAAAGAGAAAACGUAUUUUACUCGAAGGCGCUAAGGACUGCGGCCGAAUUUGGAAAACUGGGAGGGGCUCUUUAAACAAAUUUUCCCCCGAAGGGGUAUUGGGCGUCUCUGGCCGUCCGAUUUGAAAUGGACGGCCAGGAUUAGAUCCUGAGGGGGGGGGAAAGGGGAGAGGAGAGGGGCCGGCCGCCGGAGGGGAAGGGGACGGCGGCGGCGCCGCCAUGGCCGACGAGGCGGAGGUCACCGGAGAAGUUCACGAGAGGGCUACAGGCCGCGGUUUUCUGAUCCGAAAGCUUCUAGAGAAAGAGGAGGUUGAGGGGAACUCGGUCCCGGCCUCGGCGCGACCGGGGAGAGCCCGCGCGGCCCGCUCCAUGGCCGGCGGCCAUGGAGCUCGCCGGAGCUCGCGGAAAGCGGCCCUAGAGAGCACUGCAACGCUCGGGAGAAAGCCGAAAAGGUAGAGGAGGACGAGGCGCGCUCACCAACGCGAAGAAGGAGGACGAAAACGGCUCGGACGGCGGACUUCGAUCGGAGGUCGCGGCGGCGGCUUCUCUCUGCGCGAGUACGGAUGGAAACAGAAACGAGGAGAGGAAAACUGGCGAGGAGAAGAGGACGCGCGGCUCGCAGUCCACUACUUAUCCAAGCGCGGGGAAGAGGGGAGGAGUCGUGGGGAGCGGGGGCGCGGGCUUGCGGCCGGACGGUUUCCAAACCGAGAGAGAGAGGAAAGAGCGGGGCGUCGGUUGGGAGAAGAGGGAGCUGACAGGCGGGCCCGGCCUGUCAGCGGGGGAGAGAGAGGGGAAGGGGGGAGGGCGGCUGGGCCGCGGCCCAGGAAGGAGAUGGGCGCGCGGGGGGGGGGGGGGGGUUUGGACCGAAAGGCCGAAAUGGAGAGAAUGGGGAGAAAGAAAUUCCUUUUCCUUUUCUUUUUCUCAAACAAAUUUUCAAUGCAUUUCCCAAAUGGAUUUUUAAUCAAUUUGACAUUUGUUUUCAAGACACUCAUCACAUAAAAGAAUGCUCCAGCAUGAAUGCAACAUAAAGUUUUCUCUAAGCUUAUAUUAAAUUUUAAUUUCUCCAAAUUUAUUUAUUUUCCUAUAGUGAAAAAUGCUCACAAAAUAAAUUCAUUUAAAUUCAUUUCAUCUAUUUAAAAGAAACAAAAUUUUUGGGUGUUACAAUUCUACCCCCCUUAAAAAUAAUCUCGUCCUCGAGAUUGAGAUGGUGCUUACUCAAAGAGAUACGGAUAAGAUUGUCUCAGCUCAUCUUCUCUUUCCCAAGUGGCUUCUUCUUCUUUAUAUCGGUGCCACUGCACUUUGCACAUCUUUAUAACCCGACUCCGGGUGACUCUUUCCGCCGUUUCUAAGAUCUUGACUGGAUAUUCCUCAUAAGUUAGAUCUCCUUCAACUGUGAGUUCCUCCAAUGGAAUUUGUUCCUCAGGCACUCGCAAACAUUUCUUCAGUUGCGACACAUGGAACACAUCAUGAAUACCCGACAUACUCGCAAGCAACUCUAACUGAUAGGCCACUUCUCCACGUCUCCUAAGAAUUCUGAACGGUCCAACGUACCUCGGUGCCAAUUUUCCCUUCAUAUUAAACCUCCUGACACUUCUCAUAGGUGACACCUUCAAAUACACAUAGUCGCCUAUCUCGAAUGCCAAUUCUCUUCUUCUAGUAUCAGCAUAACUCUUUUGCCGAGACUGGGCUACUCUCAAGUUGUCCCGUAUUUUCCACACUUUUUCCUCUGCAUCUCUAAGAACAUCAGGUCCAAAUACUUGACUCUCACCAGUCUGAUUCCAAAACAGAGGUGUUCUACAUUUCCGCCCAUACAAUGCUUCAAACGGUGCCAUAUCGAGACUUUUCUAGUAACUAUUAUUAUAUGAGAAUUCAGCAUAUGGUAAACUAGUGUCCCAACCGGUACCAUACUGUAAUGCACACGCUCUCAACAUGUCUUCUAGAAUCUGAUUUACUCUUUCAGUCUGCCCAUCAGUUUGGGGAUGAUACGCGGAGCUAAAGUUCAACUUUGUUCCCAAUGAUUCAUGUACUUUAUGCCAAAACUGAGAUGUGAACUGUGUACCCCGAUCAGACACGAUCUUCUUCGGAACUCCGUGCAGACUCACGAUUCUAUCCAUAUAUAACUUUGCCAACUUUGCACCAUCAUAGUUGGUCUUAACGGGCAAAAAGUGAGCAACUUUAGUGAGUCGAUCCACUAUUACCCAAAUUGAAUCAUACCCACGCUGAGUGCGGGGCAAUCCAGUGAUGAAAUCCAUACCUACUUCUUCCCAUUUCCAUUCGGGCACUUGCAUUGGCUGCAACAACCCUGCAGGUCUUUGGUGCUCGGCUUUCACCCUCUGACAAGUAUCACAUAACGCUACAUACUCUGCCACAUCUCUCUUUAAUCCAUACCACCAAUAUUUUUUUUAAGAUCUAGAUACAUCUUGGUGCUUCUGGGGUGAAUUGAAUAUGCAGAGUCAUGUGCUUCCCGCAGGAUUGCAUCUCGGAUGGAUUUUACUUCGGGCACACAUAUUCUCUUCCCAAACCAUAGUGUACCAUUUUCAUCUAACCUGAAACCCGGUGCUUUUCCAAGCACUACAUUCUCUGAAAUUUCUUUUAACUUCCCAUCCUCCAACUGACCUUUGCGGAUUUCUUGCUCUAGGGUGGGCUCUAACUCCAAUUCAACAGUGUUGUUCACUAAACCCAAAUUGAGAUGCGCUAUUUCAGCUAGCAACUCUGUGGGAAUGAAGGUCAAUUGCAAUCCAUUGGCAUAACUCUUUCGGCUAAGUGCAUCGGCAACAACGUUUGCCUUCUCGGGAUGGUAAUGCACUUCCAGGUCAUAAUCCUUUAUUAGUUCUAGCCAGCGGCGUUGCCUUAAGUUCAGGUCUGACUGUGUGAAAAUAUACUUCAAACUUUUGUGAUCCGUAUAAAUAUCACACUUGUGUCCAAUUAGAUAAUGCCUCCAAAUCUUUAGAGCAUGAACCACGGCAGCUAGCUCCAAAUCAUGAGUAGGAUAGUUCAGCUCAUGUUUUCUCAACUGCCUGGAUGCAUAGGCCACUACUCUUCCUUAUUCCAUAAGCACACAUCCAAGGCCUAGGCGAGAUGCAUCGCAAUAAAUAGAGAAGGUUUUGCUCAGAUCUGGCAAGAUCAACACUGGAGCUGUGGUCAACCUUUUCUUUAGCUCCUCAAAAUUCUCUUGGCACUUAUCUGACCAAAUAAAUUUGGCACUCUUCUCUAGUAGGGCUGUCAUGGGCUUUGCUAACUUAGAGAAGCCUUCAAUAAAUCUUCUAUAAUAACCAGCUAGUCCCAAAAAGCUACGGAUCUCACUAGCAUUGGUUGGAGGUUUCCAAUUUAGCACGUCCCGCACUUUGCUGGGGUCUACGGCUAUUCCACCAUUGGAUACCACAUGUCCCAAAAAUGAGACCUCAUUCAACCAAAACUCACACUUGCUUUUCUUGGCAUACAAUUUAUUCUCUCUAAGCUUUUGCAAGACCAGCCUCAAAUGUUCAGCAUGUUCUUCUUUGGUUUUGGAGAAGAUUAAUAUAUCAUCAAUGAAUACUACCACGAACUUAUCCAAAUACUCCAUGAACACCUUGUUCAUCAUAUACAUGAAGUGUGCAGGUGCAUUGGUCAACCCAAAUGACAUGACUGUAUACUCAUACAAGCCAUACCUUGUGGUAAAAGCUGUCUUAGGUAUGUCAGUUGCACGGAUUUUCAACUGGUGAUAGCCAGAUCGGAGGUCAAUUUUGGAGAACACACAUGCUCCUUUUAGUUGGUCAAAUAAGUCAUCUAUUCUAGGCAGUGGGUACUUGUUUUUAAUAGUGACUUCAUUUAAUGACCGAUAAUCCACACACAUCCUUCUAGUGCCAUCUUUCUUAUCAACAAAGAUUACCGGUGCACCCCAUGGUGAAGAACUAGGACGAAUAAACCCUUUUUCUUGCAAUUCCUUAAGCUGUUUCUUAAGUUCCUCUAAUUCAUUUACCCCCAUUCUAUAUGGUCUUUUUGCUAUGGGUGCAGUUCCGGGUAAAAGCUCAAUAAGAAAUUCAAUGUCUCGGUCUGGUGGCAUACCUGGCAACUCAUCCGGGAAAACAUCGGGGAACUCGUCCACCACCUGGUCUUCUUGAUUACCACCACUCAACUGAUUCACUGUAGCAGUCGGCUGAGGCUGCACUGCCACAUCCACACUUAUUCUAUCCCCACCUGGUGAUGUCACCACCACAGCCCUCUCCUGACACUGUAUUACUGCCCCAUGCUGCUUCAUCCAAUCCAUACCAAGUAUGUGGUCAAUUCCCAUGGUUCUUAGCACAAUAGGUUUCACCUUGAAAUCUACCCCCCUUAGAGAUAUACUAGUGGAGGGGCUCCAGUAAUUAGCUGGCAUGGUGCCUCCCGGUGAAUUUACUAGCAUGGAAUUUUUCAGUGCACAAAGUGGGAUGCUAUGCACUCUAACAAAAGCUUGGGAGAUAAAAGAAUGUGAAGCACCAGAAUCAAACAGUACUGUAGCGGGGAUGGAGUUGAUGUUGAACGUACCCAUCAUAACCUCAGGUGCUUCCUGAGCUGUGUCAGCGGACACAUGGUUCACUUUCCCAGAGAACAGAGGUCGAGCAGGCCUCUGAUUGUUGUUCUGGUUUUGCUGGGCUGGUGGAUUCUGCUUCUUGGGGCACUGGUAGGCAUAGUGUCCCACCUCUCCGUAGCGGUAACAGGCAUUGGGAUUGCCGCUGGGUGCUGCACUCUUGCCAGGAGCAUUAUUGGGCACUCCUUGGCGUGGUGCCUGAUUGCUGACCUGUUGCUGGGGGCGCUGCUCACUCUGAUUGCCAUACUGCUGUUGGGGGCGUUGUUGGUUUUGGUGAUUGUGCUGCUGGUAGUACUGGGGACGCUGAGGAAACUGACCACGGUUCCACUGAUUCUGUGGUCCUUGACUGCGCUGAGGGAAUCCCUGCUGAGGGUACGCACGUGGGCGAGUGUUGCUGCCCGACGGCUGCCCCUGGAGCUUUCUCUUCUUUGCAUCUAUCUCCUUGCGCUUGUUGUCGAUGACAAUAGCGCGGUUCACCAAUUCUUGGAAGCAAGGGUAGGUGUUGCUCAUCAGCUGCAGCUGCAGUCCAUCAUACAGACCCUUCAGGAAGAGACGCUGCUUGUCAGAGUCCCUGGCCACCUCAUAUGGAGCAUAUCGUGACAGUUGUGCAAACUUUUCACGAUACUCACUGACUGACAUCGAUCCCUGCUUGAGAGACCGAAACUCUUCUGCUUUUAGUUCUAUCAGGCCCUCUGGAAUAUGAUGGGACCUGAACCCUUCCGUAAACUCCUUCCAGGUGACUGGCGGAGCAUUGUUCGGGCGUCCAUAUUGAUAGACUCCCACCACUCCUGUGCAGGUCCUUGCAGCUGGCCUGAUGCGUACAACACUUUCUCCAAGUCGCUACAUUGGGCAAUGUUCAGCUGCUUCUCGACUGCUUUUAACCAGUCGUCUGCCUCCAGUGGAUCAGAGGCAUGGGUGAACACCGGAGGACGUCCUUUCAAGAACUCCCCUCGCUUGUCACGGACUUGAACCGGCGGUGGUGCUGCUACUGGUUCAUUGUUCAUACGGUUCAUCAUGGCUUGCAUCAGAUUAGCUUGCAUACCCAUGAGCUGCUCGAUAGUCAUCGGCGGCGGUGGUGGUGGUGGAUUCUCAGGUACACCACGUCCACGGCCACGACCACGGCCACGGCCACGUCCACGACCAGCGGCUGCACCUUCGGCGUCCAUCUGCUUCCAACAAAGAUUCACGGCUUUUAGUGAUCUUCCAAAAAAAUAAUUAUUCAUCGCUUAUAAUGAAUAAAAACAAGUCUAGCAGUUUUCUGGACAAGUUUCAAACUCAGCAGGUCAGUAAUCUGUGCUUAUCUCAGAAUCUAUAGAUUCAAAAGUUACAUGGUAUACAUCGUUGGAAAGGUUAGGAAAUUCUCUACAAACUUUAUUCAGACCACAUUUACUGAUUCCAACAGUAACAUAAUCAAAAUUCUGAUUCAUCAGGUUCUGCUCUGGUUCUCAGUCUGCGCAGGUACAGCAGAUUAAAACGGACAUAUCUCAUAGAUCCGAACAGAUAAUGAGGUGAUUCCAGUUGGAGAUGAAAGAUAUACCAGUCUAGUUUUCACCAUAAAAAUUUCGUAAUUUUUGACUGAACCAAUAAUGAGAUACUGAAUAAACAUCCCAGACCGCUCCAGAAACAGCAUGACUGAGACAGAUAAAGUAACCCAACCUCGAAUUUAAACAACAUUUACUUCUAGAAUUAAGGUUUAGAAACAUGCUGACAGGCCCACAUGUUUCCACAAUCAAACAAAACUCCAAAUCAUAAAUGUUCAUCAACACAAACAGCAACUCACUAAAGCUCACAUGCCACACAUUACCGAAAUACUCGUGCUAGCGUCAAUCUAGAAAGUACUGGGAAAUCUAAGGAGCUCUAUCUUGGAGAACGAACUUGCGGGGCUUCUUCUUGUAAAUGGGUGGCUGUCCAAGCUGACCACGCAGCUCAUCCACCUGACGCUGGAGGCGCUUCCCCGCCUGCUGAGCAACACGCAGCUCCUGUCUCAGUGCCCCAUUCAUCUCCUGAAUGGCACUGACGUGUCUCACAGUCGUAUCCAGGGUAGGGUCGCCGGCAGGAGGUGCCAGGACAUGCCAUGUCUUGCCAUCUGGGUCGUUGCGGGGAAGGAACCGGUACCUGUCCUCCUGCAUGGCCUCAAAACGGCGGCCAUGGUAGUGAAAGUACGCGGCCUGAGCUGCAUCCUCCAUGCUCUCGUAGGCGGAAGCACGUCUAACCAUGCUCUCGUGGAUGGACUCCACCUCGUCCGAGUUGUCGACGUUGUUUCGAGCUGUGAUGAUCACCUCGGCCUUCCAGUAGGUGUUCUCCAACUGGUGCUUGUGCUCCGAGCAAAGGUAGCGGACGGUGGCGGCAAACUCCGGGUAAUAGCUCGCCAACACACCCGUGAGCAGAGUGUGGUAGUGAGCGUCCUCGUCCGCCUCCAUGAACUUGUUCCUGGAGGUCCAUCCCAUCUCCGGAACAACCUGAGGCUACUGAGGCGUCGGUGCUGAACCCGUCGACGCGUGGGGUGCAGGCGAAGGUGGUGCAGGUGCAGGUGGUGCAGGUGCAGGUGGUGCAGGCGCAGGUGGAACUGGAGCGGCAGCCUGCGGAAUCGGUACCGCCACUGGUGUAGGAGCUGAAGGUGUAGGCGUAGGGGACCCCGUGUCCAUAGGCGACGACCUCGGGCUCUGGUACAGGUACUGGUGCUGGCACAGGUGCAGGUACUGGAGCUGGUGCUGGUGCAACUGGUGGAGCACGGGCGGCGACGAAGAGGGCGCGAUACGCGGCUGCGCUGCGACGAGGCAUCUAUAAAUUUUGUUUUAAGAAUUAGAAUCGAUAUGUUUAUAUAAAUAGAACAUUGGGUAAGAAUAUAAACUUUUAAUAAAAUAACAAGAAAGUAAAGUGAGCAGUGAAAUAAAUAAAGCGAAAAUAAAAACCCUAAAAUCGACUGUUUCUACCUAGGUUUGCGUCCUACAGUCAGCCUUGCUUUGAUACCAAUUUGUCACACCCAAAUUUAAGGAUAAAUUUGAGUACAAUAAUCUCAUGUGCGCCCCAGAAAUAGUCGCGCACACAAGUCGACAAAUUACAAAUGUAUCAUCACAAGUGUCUUACAAAACGUUAUUACAACACAAAUAUAUCAAAGUCUGCGACAAACGGAAAAUAAACUCAUAACUAACUAUGGUAAGAUAACUCCAACACAGGGACGACCGACUGGGGAAUCGCCAACCUAGAAGUCCUCAGGGAAUUCCUCAUAGUAGCUGUCAUCUGUUACCCAUCCGGGAUUUUGUCCAAAAAGAAAGAUAAAGACAAGCGUGAGUACAUCUAGUACUCCGCAAGCAUAACAUAGGAUAUUAUGCGGCUCAAAGAGGUCAGACACUGGCUACUGCAGUUAGCAUUUUAAUUGGUCAAUAUUUUAAUCCUAUUUAAUCAUCAAUUAUGCUUAAGCUCCCGAUUAGCCCAAAUGAGCACAUGAUAAUAACAACGUUAACCUUCACGGCUAACACCAUCACCAUCACGGUUAAACCACAUUAAUCAUCACGAUCAAUGUGUCAGAUUUUCAUAAGUUAUUUCCCAUAACCAUCCACACCCAACUAUUCCGUAAGGGUCCAAGGCCGCUCAUGUCCGAGAGCACGGCUAGUAUACCAGUUUGAUCAAACUCUGCGCAAAGGUGUGCACUUUUCCUGUAAGUCGUGUUACCCAUAUGCCCGGGGUUUGCAAGACCCACUAACACUGCCAAGGUGAGCGGGCAAGGAACACUAUGAAGCCUUCCAUAGGCCACGUCUAACCAGCUAGGGCCGCGAGGUUUCCUCGGCAGGCAGAUAUAGAGAACUCCCCUUUCCUAUGGCACAUUUCCAUCACGGCUAUACACAUAGGAACAGAAGCAGUUCUAUACCCAAAGUGGCAAGCCCCUCUUGCGCCCUUUCGGGUAGCCUCUAACCAGCUAGAUGAGAUCCUAUUACUGAGCUAAAGUUAGAGCCAUAUAACCAUCACGGUUGCACUGUAAGUCCCGGAUAGUCGCUUACAGAGAAGUCCUUAAGGAGGGUCUAGGUCAACUCGACCGAAGUCAAUUGCACCAUAGCCCUUUUCCCAACAUUUAUCAUCAUACUCAUUAAAGUCAGAGUGAUAGUAAAUUCUCAAUUAAUUAAAGCACUAGCAAAGCUACCCACAUGCAUUCUACCCAUAGGUGUCAUAAAUAUAUAGUCAGGUAGCUAGGAUGUCCUUAGGGUUACCAAAUUAGACACAUGCAGAUGCGUAAUUAAUUAAGUGAAUAGGUGUACAAGGGAAACCCAUGUUAUACUUGCCUUCAGUGAAGGGGAACUGCUGCUGGUCCUGCUGCUCCUCGUAGUAAAAUGGAUCACCCACGAACACGUCACCGUCUGCGCUCGAUCGGUACCACACAACAACACGCAUCCAGGUUCAUUCAUACAAGCAAACAAUCAUUUAAUUAGAAUAGUACACCAACAGAUCAAAAUGAAAUAAAAUACUUAAAAACAGAACCUAUGAUUCACUACGAUCACAUUGGUACGAAGAUCACGAAAAUCGGAGCUAAAACGACCAAGUUACGACUUUCCGGCGAUUUCCUAUAGGCAAUUAAUUAAUUAAACCUAACCCUGAAAAUAAAAAGUUUCAAACUACAGAAACAGUGGUACUAUCAUGUAGAGAAUUUAAUUACAAAUCUAACGCAAUUUGAACGGGUCAAAUCGGAGCUAUAACGAAUAUUUUAUGACCAAAACAAGUUCAGUGGCAAUUCUGUAAUUUCCUGAAAGCGUAUUUUGACCUAACCGACGGAUAAUACGUUUUCUAAAAGAGAAAACGUAUUUUACUCGAUGGCGCUAAGGACUGCGGCCGAAUUUGGAAAACUGGGAGGGGCUCUUUAAACAAAUUUUCCCCCGAAGGGGUAUUGGGCGUCUCUGGCCGUCCGAUUUGAAAUGGACGGCCAGGAUUAGAUCCUGAGGGGGGGGGGAAAGGGGAGAGGAGAGGGGCCGGCCGCCGGAGGGGAAGGGGACGGCGGCGGCGCCGCCAUGGCCGACGAGGCGGAGGUCGCCGAAGAAGUUCGCGAGAGGGCUACAGGCCGUGGUUUUCUGAUCCGAAAGCUUCUAGAGAAAGAGGAGGUUGAGGGGAACUCGCUCCCGGCCUCGGCGCGACCGGGGAGAGCCCGCGCGGCCCGCUCCAUGGCCGGCGGCCAUGGAGCUCGCCGGAGCUCACGGAAACCGGCCCUAGAGAGCACUGCAACGCUCGGGAGAAAGCCGAAAAGGUAGAGGAGGACGAGGCGCGCUCACCGACACGAAGAAGGAGGACGAAAACGGCUCGGACGGCGGACUUCGAUCGGAGGUCGCGGCGGCGGCUUCUCUCUGCGCGAGUACGGACGGAAACAGAAACGAGGAGAGGAAAACUGGCGAGGAGAAGAGGACGCGCGGCUCGCAGUCCACUACUUAUCCAAGCGCGGGGAAGAGGGGAGGAGUCGUGGGGAGCGGGGGCGCGGGCUUGCGGCCGGACGGUUUCCAAACCGAGAGAGAGAGAGGAAAGAGCGGGGCGUCGGUUGGGAGAAGAGGGAGCUGACAGGCGGGCCCGGCCUGUCAGCGGGGGAGAGAGAGGGGAAGGGGGGAGGGCGGCUGGGCCGCGGCCCAGGAAGGAGAUGGGCGCGCGGGGGGGGGGGGGGGUUUGGACCGAAAGGCCGAAAUGGAGAGAAAGGGGAGAAAGAAAUUCCUUUUCCUUUUCUUUUUCUCAAACAAAUUUUCAAUGCAUUUACCAAAUGGAUUUUUAAUCAAUUUGACAUUUGUUUUCAAGACACUCAUCACAUAAAAGAAUGCUCCAGCAUGAAUGCAACAUAAAGUUUUCUCUAAGCUUAUAUUAAAUUUUAAUUUCUCCAAAUUUAUUUAUUUUCCUAUAGUGAAAAAUGCUCACAAAAUAAAUUCAUUUAAAUUCAUUUCAUAUAUUUAAAAGAAACAAAAUUUUUGGGUGUUACAGUGACAUUUCCGAGUUACCUUUGUAUCCCAUAUCUUGUUAGCAGGACGGGUAGGUUUAUAGGUGCGGGUCGAACAUCCUUUGUGGUGUCUAGAUUCCGUAAGCCUCCCCAAUAGAACAGUAGAUCAUCCUUACUAAGGUUAGAACGAGACUACGGUUGCAGUCUUCUCUAUACAUCACUCACAUCGAGAAACAUUCUUUGUAGCCUAAAGGGAUAGUAGCAAUAGAUUUGGUUAGUCAGAUGCACCCUUUCUCCCAGUGGUAAAAAUAUAAAUACGAUACUCUGGAAAACCUUCCGGGUGAAAUGCUCACCGAUAUCCGUGCGCUUGCGGAUCAUUUCCUUAUUGCGUUACCCAAUAUCAACAAGCAUUUCUGGCGCCGUUGCCGGGGAGAAAGACGGUUUGCUGAGAUAACUUUGAGUCUUGCUAUUAUCUUGUAUUAUACUUUUAUUCUUUUAUUCUUUUAUCUUUUUAUUUUUUCUAUCUUUAUGGAUAACUUAAAUUCCAUACCUAUUAUUGAACUCUUUGCACCUUCGGAGACCAGCCAUAGACCAUGGGAGUCAACAAGUCCUGCCCCUAAUUAUGAUUUGUGUUCGGAGUUGAUUGCAAUAGGUCAAAACCAACCCUUUUCUAUAGCCGAGGUCCUAUCUUUUAAUCAAGAAGAUAAUGCACUUUUAGCUACACCUAGGGAAUCUGUUAAUGUUUUUAUAAAUUCUGGUUUAGACCUAGCCCUACAAGACCAUGUUUUUCCUAAAUAUUUUCACAUUGGUCUUAAUCAUAUAACCUUUGGUAGAGUCCUUCUUUCUUUAUCUAUUAGUAAAGGAAGGUAUGUCUUCAUUCGUGGACAUCCUUCUUGUACUAGUCUUCAUAGAAAAAUCCUAGAGAUAGAGAAGGAAUCAUCUCCCAGACAAGGAAAUGAAGUUUCCAUAGCCGAUUUCCAAACAUUCCAAUCCCAUGAUUCGGCUAUCCAACCCAUCCUUGAGCUUAAUAAUUUCUACUACGCUCUUUCUCUUGAACCUCCCGAUAAUCCUAUGAAUCUCUCUAGACAUCCCAUGUAUAAGAGUCACCAAGACCACAAGGAGGAUCGAGAAGAGCAACAUCAAUGGCUAGAGGGCAUUAAAAAUCCAUGUGCUAUCACCAUUGAAUGGAUGGAUAAAACAAACUUGAGAGACAAUCCUAGAGGAAUUUUAAGCAUUCGUAAAGAAUCAUCCUUGGAGUUUGAGAAUGAGAGAAACAAUAGUGAGCAUGGAAGUUAUUUCAUAAAUACCUUACCAAGUCCUUGCUCAUAUAAAACAUCUCCCCAAUCAAUUGGUCUCUCCAUCCUUACCACAUUUGAGAUCUCCAACCCCCUCUUCCUUUCUAUUUAUAAAAACUUUAAAAGGGCGGUUGUCGAUGCAUAUGUCUAUAAUAAAUAUUGCAGAUCUCGUUGAGUUGAUCUUGAUAUAGGUCAGCGUCGGAGGGGAAACCACUUCACCAACAUAACUUGAUGGUUUUCCAAGGAUAAGCUUAGCGUCCUUAAACAAGCACUUAUCAGAUUGUAACAUGAACUUUUAAUUAUUUGCAACAUUGCCUUGUGUAUUGAGCAUAUUGAGAUAAUUGUAGAAAUAUUCCUUCAGGUAUUCUUGCCACUAACCUUUUUAGGAUUGGAGCAAGAAGAUCGGAUGAAUGACAAGCACAAGGUAUGUCCAACCAACCAUCAUACAACAUUGAAUUAAAUUCAUCCAAAACUUGAAUUUCGCAAAAAUUCAAGCUUGGGGGAGUACUUUACAUAAAAACAUCCUUUGCCAUGUUGCUAUGUUGGUUGUCCUUACCUUUGAGACAUGCUCAAUUUGUUAAAUACUAAUCACACUACUUCAUCUCCACUUGAGUAGAUCUCUAUAAAUGCUGUCAUGCUACCUUUGUCUAUUUACUAGCAAGUGUUGGUUUGGAAGUACUCGACAUACUUCCAUUGGCAUUUAAAUUAAGCAUGGUGCUUAGGUUAAAUAGGCUUCCUUAAUCUGAUUAGACAUGGAGUCUAGUUUGGUUACUGAACUAAAAACUGCUUGAGUAGAUAUUGGUAUAUUUUGUGGGACUAACCCCUGCAGGAAAACUUUCAAUAUCAAUCUGGGAAGUCCUAAGAUAAACUCACAUUGGAGAUGAAGAAAGUGACACAUGAAGUUUAACAAUUUGCACAAGAAAGACGUAGCUCAUAAGAGAUGAUUCAUGGAGGGUGCCACAAACACAAUGCACAACCGCUAAGAAAGGAAAGAUUCCACAAGGUGAUACUAUACCAUCACUCUUCAAGUACACUUCGAGCAAAACCUGAAGGAGUUUUACAACUCCCAGACUCCACCAAGUGAAGGACCUAGAUCUACAAGCACAAACACACUGAGCAGGAUAUUGCCAACACCGCACUUCGAACUGCUAGACAAACAAAGAACAGAGGUGACACCGUAUCAAGAGGUGCAGAUGUCUAGGUCCACACCUAAUCAAAUGAUGCACCUAAAGGAUGAAGACGGUGAGAAGUCUUGUCCAGAAGACAUAAAACAUUGGAUCCUUGUCGGAGGAGGUCAAGAUCGUCGACUCAAGUUGCCUUUCCUCAUCAAGAAGGAGGACUCUGGUGUUACAAGCAUCAAGUGCACAAUCAAUGGAUACUCUUUUCAGAAGACACUCUACGACACAGGAUCUGACGUCAACAUAAUGGCCGCAGUCACUUAUCAGCUCCUGCAUGGAACCAUGCCUCUACAACCAACAUACAUUCAGCUCCAGAUGACAGAUCAGACAUUCCGAAAGGUUGAAGGUCAUUGAUAUGGGAGAAGACGAGUACGAUCCACACAUCAUCCUUGGAAGACCGUUCCUCAAACACUAUCAAAGCCAUCAUCUAUAUUGGAACCGGAGAAGUCCACAUGCACUUCCCCUCUGAGAAGGUACGCCACUAUUUUACUGACCCUAACUAUAUAGUUGAAAACUCUAAGCAGGUUAGGACAAGAAGAAGACGACGCAACCGCAACCAGAGGAGGUAAAUUAUCAAGAACGGAUGGGUAGCUACGAAGGAGAAGUGAUAAGGACUGAAGACAUACAACUUGAACAGAACUGUCCUGAGCAGACCGUAGCACCGAGUCAGGUGUGGAGAGAGAAGAUAGUUAUAUACGAAGAGAAGGCGCCGCCGGAAUCACCGACUACGCCAUCCAGCGAAUCCCAGGACGACUGAGAAAAACAGAGAGUCCCGUUCGGAGGACUUAAAAACAUCGAACGCCUUGCCAAGAGGUAAACUUGGUAGUUAUCCUUUUCCAUUCAAUAGUUUGCUUAGUUAAUCAGGUUCAUGCUAUCUUGAAAAGAAAAUAAAAAUGUUAAAAAAAUAGUAAGCCCCAUGUGAGUAUGCUCAUGGCAUAAAACCCAUAGGUACAUUCACUGUGGUGGCAUAAAAUAAAUAUGUUUUAAUCUUACAAUAAAAAUAUAAAAAUAAUAAGUGCAUGAUCCUGCUAAAUAAAUAACAUUUAUUGAGGAGGCUCAAUAUGAUAAAGGCUAGAUAUUUAUGCUAACACUUAACCAGUUCCACAAAGCUUUGUUGUCUAUUUGAGCUCCACAGAAUUCAAGGAUCAAAGAAGACUAGCAGACGGAGGACAUCCUAAUUACUGUCAGGGUGCUGCUGACGUUCAAAUACACCUCCACCACCUGCUAGCUACAUGAGAAGAAAUUACGUUAAAAUCCAGCUUGGGGGAGAGCACCCCCAUUUAUCCAGCUAAGUGUUUCUACUCGCGUUUAUACUUUACUCAAAUAAUAAAGAGAUGCAUAAUCAUAAAAAACCCAAAUAAAGAUUUUGUGCUUUUAUAUAUAUAUCUUUGCUUAGUUUGCUAAAUAAAUAAAUAAAUAAAGUUUGCUAUCAACCCUCAUGAUAAACUCUCACAUGGAAAUGAUGAAUAGUUGCUCUGCCAUGACUAGUUCUUAAAAUUAAAAUCUCUCUCAAGUUUAGGCAUGACUGUUAUGAAGUAAUAUUUGCUCUAAAUCUGAACUUGUGGGAAGAGUACUUGAUCUAAAGUCUAAGUUGUUAACGGAUAUGAUAUGGGAAGGUUGAGCUGUUGUUUAUCUGUUCCUAGAUAUGCUAGAAUUCUGGAGAAUUUUAUCUUUGAAAAAAUCUUUAAAAUAUCACAUGAUGAGUUCCUGUAUGAUGAGAGUUUAAAUUCCUACCACAGCCAUAUAUACAUGCUUAUUAGACUUUGAGCCACACAUUUACUUUUUACUGCUUAUGAGCAUUGAGUGUGGUCAAGCUGUGUAGACCCUUAGGAGCUUAUCAUGUGGUUAAAAUCAAGAUUCACUUGCACGUUCACUGAUACAUGCUACUUCUACUCCGGAAGUACCAUCCACAUAUAUCCACUCAUUUCCAUUUUCAAAACCACCCAAAAGUAUUCUACUCCUAUCCGGGAGAGAAUAGCCAAAAAUAUUUUCCUAUCCCUGUUAUUCCCUGUGAAAUAAAUGCUCCAGUUAUUUUGGUUACUACCACUUGCUACAUUCUUUCAGGAGAUGAGUGCUCUAAAAAAAAGAAAAAAAAGGAAAAAAAUAAUAAUACAAGGAAAUAAAAAGGGGCAAGUGCCCGGAACCUCGAAGAAAAGAAAAAGUGAGACGAGAGGUAAAAAUGGACAAGUGUCCGACAGUAGAAUUAGGGGUACAAGAUACCCACCUGAGAGGAAAUAAAAAGAAAAUAUAGAGCAUCUCAUUCUCCUCAAAAAGCUUCAAAGUGCAAGAAAGGUAUGUAUCCCCUCAAAAGAGCAAAUUUAGAAUUAGACUUUCACCAUUAUUAUCACCAUCAUCACCAUACACCAUUCAUUCGCCACACAUGCACAUCUUGAUUUGACUUAUUGACUUGUUUCUCUUGAUCCAUGGUUUGACUAUGCAAUAAAUGUCAUGUAAGUAUGUAUUAGCUGUCUCCCACCUAUGAGCUCCAGAUAUCAAAACCUUAUUAGAGUAGGGAGAGAAAGCAAUAUCACUAUGCCUCAUACCACAAAUACUACAUACUUUGAGAGAAGGCAUAUACCAUUACUGCCUUGGUAAGGAUCCAGAAAUACCACAAAAGAGAGAUCUGAGAGAGUCAUAUAAGGAAUCUCUGAGUUUUAUUCGAAAAUCUGCAAAAACUCCAGAGCUAUAGCUGAUCAAGAAUAAGAGACAUGGCGCUUGACUUGACCGUUCUAUCUUUUAACUACUCAAGACACAAGUGACGGUUACAAGCCCCAUGGUGAAAGGUAAAAUGAGUAAGUUUUAAGUCUUAACAAUUUAUUCUAACUCAGAGAUGAGAUCUUGCUUGAAUGCGUGUGUACUUUUAAGGUAUGAAACCACUGUAGAAACUCUUGAGUUCAUCCUUGCUCAGGGACGAGCAAGAGGUAAGCUUGGGGGAGUUGUUGACGGUCCUUAAGUAUCAAAUUUAAUUAUCAAAUAAAUAAAGAAAAGGAUCCAAAUGAAAUCAACAUCUAGACUUAGGGUUUUAUCUGACAGAAUUCCACGAGUUUUGGUGUUUGUCUAUUUCUGCAGGGGGUUAUCAAGAAAUACGGAAGAAAGGCCCACAUGUCGGGAUUACAUAGAGAUAUUAACAUGCCGCGCAAUUAUCUUACAUCUAGAAGACUCUAGAAGCUACGAGACCGAAGCGGAGACGAAACGAGGCCAGAGGCAGGGCGCCCGCCCUGUUCCCCUAGGCGCCCGCCCCCUCCCUGAGUCCAAUCAGGACUCUGCUUCGUGGGAGAUCUCCACCGACCUAAAGGAUGAAUCUAAACCAUACAAUCUAUGUCAGUUUGAUCCAAUGGCCCAUAUUCACUUGAAGGGACUAUAAAACCAGACCCCCUGGCCCCUGGAGGAGAAAGCCUCUCAACCCUAAUUCAUUGUUCUUCAAGGGAGAAGAAGCCUCUGAUCAAGAUUAGAGCCACCACAUCAAUUAGACAUCUAGAUUAGCAUAGCUACAUAGGAUUAGAACUAGAAGGAGUCAAUCUUCGAUUGGUUUCCGGAUCUGUCAAGAGGAUUCUUGGUAAUUCUCUAAUUGUGCUUCUAAUUGCUUUCUAAUUAUCUUUGUUCUUCAAUAUUAUGAAUAUGACUUUGUUCUACUUCAAUAUAUUGCUUAUGACUUUGCUCUACUUGCUUAUAUUCAAGAUUAUAUUGUUCUUAGUUUAUCAUAGUUAUGUACUUGGCUUAGUUAGAUUGGAUCUAUAUACAUGCUUAGGAUCGUAUAGCGUUUAUCCAUCGGAUCCAUGGGUAAAUGAUAGAUAUUGUGUAGGCGUGGUGCUUAUACCGUAUUUAUCUGCGAUUGUACCCAAUAUGCCAGAUCGUGGGGUGGUUCGUGAUAGUGACAGCUUCAUUGAUUCUUAUAUAGUCCCCCUCUCGUGUAUUGGGCUGGCAGAGCAACAUUAUUACAGGGGAGUGAUUGCUAUGUUUCUCAUUUACCUUGCUAAUAUCACUAUGCAUGGGCGUAGUCUUGUCUCGCAAUGAUUGCUAAGUAUGCUUGCACUAAUUAUGAUAAUGCUAGACUAUAUAGUUGAGAAUAACUUAGGGAAUAUUCUUGUAGUUCGUUCUAAUACCAUGCUAAUGACUUUCUAGAGUAUCUAAUUGAGGUGCUUAUCAUAUUUAUUAUGUGGCUAGAUCAGACUAAUUAUCUUUGUCACUAUUCAUUACUUUAUAUAUCUUUUAUGUGACACUUAUCCCUGUAUGAAGAGUUAGAUAAAUGUUCUCAAUUAUACAUGCAAUGAUACAUACUCAAUCUCAUAUUCUAUUCUGUAAUCAAUAUUGAUGAUUGUUAAUCCCUUCCCAGUGGUAAAAAUAUAAAUAACGACACCUGGAAUACUUCCCGGUUAAAAUGCUGCAUCGGUAUUAAUCUGUGCGCUUGCAGAUCCCAUUCAUUAUUUAUUUAGAAGAGCAAUUGCAUAUUUCAAUAUCGCGUCUCUUAUAUCAUGCUGGGGAUGACAACUUGGCUUAAGUGGUGUGAGGGAUAGGUUUGGCAUUUUUGGCACCGUUACUAGAUUUAGAGAACUUAGUCUACUUUUGGUAAUGAUGUUAAGAAUACCCAAUAAGCAUUUUUGGCGCCGUUGCCGGGGAAGGUUCAUUACUAAUCGGGAAUGGAAUAAAGGAUUUUGAGUUAUCAUUCGCAUCACUAAUAUGAUUGAGCUUAUCUAUUCUCUCAUACAGUUUUACCCCGAUAUUUUUCUAUUUUAUCUUAUGCAGGGGAAUGUAUGAAUAGAAGACAUCUUCUAGGAAAUUUUGUUGACAAUCCCGAAGCAUUAUUCAAGAAGACGAGAGCCAAGCUCAAGAAGAGAUCAUCAACACUUCAGCAAGAAGCUUCAUCCAAUCAAGAAGAUCACCAGAACUUUUCUUCAGAGUUCGAAGCCAUGGCAAACAAAUCAAUCCGCGAGUUCUCAGCUCUCACUACGGACAACAUCCGCACUGGACCUGCUGCAGAGAUCGACGGCAACUUUGAGCUCAAGCCUGGACUUAUCAACAUGGUGCAAUCCAACCAGUUCUGUGGGAAGGCACACAAAGAUGCUAGUGCUCAUUUACAACACUUCCUGGAGAUUUGCAACACAUUCACCAUAUCAGGAGUUUCCAAAGAUGCUAUACUACUUCGCCUCUUCCCAUUCUCACUGUUAGGAAGAGCGAAGCAGUGGUUCUACGCUACAAAGGAGAAGAAUACUACGUGGGCACUCUGCUCAACAAACUUCUUGGCAAAGUUCUUUCCCAUGGGCAAGACCAAUGCUCUCCGUGGGAAGAUUAUAAGUUUUCAGCAACAAAAUGAUGAAUCUGUUCCAGAAGCAUGGGAGCGCUUCCAAGACUACAUCCUAGAGUGUCCCCAUCAUGGAAUGGAGAGUUGGCUACUGAUGCAGACGUUUUAUCAUGGGCUCGGCAACAGUGCCCGAGAGACCAUGGAUGCUGCAGCUGGAGGAGCAUUCUUAUCACUUACUAUACCACAAGCCACAGCUCUUGUGGAGAAGAUGGCGUCCAAUCAAAGCUGGAAUGAAGAGAGGACCCAGACACGCAAGAGAGGUGGAGGUAUGCAUCAGCUCAAGGAGGUAGACAUGCUGUCUGCAAAGCUAGACCUGCUCAUGAAGAAGCUCGAUGAUAGAGCUGGAGAUAAGAAGGAAGUUAUGCACAUCUACGACUCUCACAUGACUUGUGAGGAGUGUGGAGACACUGGACACUCAGGCAAUCACUGCCCUAAGAUGCUUGAGGAUGUGAACUACAUCAACGACAACAACAACAACUACUACAACUGUCCUCAACAAAAUCAAGGUUGGAAUCAACAGAGGCCUAACUACUCAGGUAAUUAUCAAGGUAACAAUUCUUUCAACAAUAAUAAUAAUUUUCCACCUUUGAGAGAGUUAGUGUCUAAUCAAGGAAAGCUAAUGGAUAACCUAUCUAAGAAAUUAGCAUCAAAUGAUAAAAUGCUAGAAAAUAUAAAUAAUAGAAUGGAUAAUUUCUCUACUGUCAUCAAGAAUCAAAUUAGCUUUAAUAAAAUGAUUGAAUCCCAGUUAAAUCAAAUAGCUGCUGCUGUUCCUACUACUAACCCCGGUAUACCAUCACAACCGGAAGGAUUAGAAUCUGCAAAUCUUGUAGACAUGUUUGAUGCAGGUAAUUGGAGUAACCCCGUCACUGAAUUCUCUACUGACCUUCUGCCGGUCAAGAGAGGAGAUCCAAGACGCCCCGACAUCCCGAUCUCCAUCGGCAUGGUGGACGUCCCAGAAGCACUCUGUGACUUUGGCUCUAGCGUCAACAUUAUACCCAGGGUACUCUAUGAAAAAUUCUUUACAUACCAUGUGUUUGCAGUUUGCAGAUCAGACGAUAACUUUUCCAAAAGAAAUAGUAAAGAACCUUUGUGUCCGAGUUUGUACCUUGUAUGCCCUAGCAGACUUCGUAGUGGUAGAGACCGGAAACAAUGAGAGAGCACCCAUCAUCUUAGGGAGGCCAUUCUUGAACACCACGGGAGCUAUCAUCUACGCUAGAGCUGCCAAGAUCAGUUUCUAAAUCAAAGGGAGGAAGGAGACAUUUUUAUUCAAGAACAAGACUAUACAAAUUCCAGAUCAAUCCAGACGUGAGUCAACGAAGAGGACCAACAGGAGGAACAAGAAUAAGCAAGUGUGGACCGAGUCAGCUAAGAUGGUCACUGUAGUUCAUGGAGGCCAAGAUCAACAACUUAAGUCACCGCUUUUGACCAAGAAGGACGCCCCAGGAAAGCCAAGCAUCUACUGCUCCAUAAAUGGAUACAACUUCUACAAGGCAACUUGUGACACCGGAUCGGGCGUCAACAUAAUGGCCGCAGUCACCUAUCGGCUCUUGUUCGGAACCAUGCCACUAAAACCAACAUACAUUCAGCUCCAGAUGGCAGAUCAGACAUUUCGAGAAGUUAAAGGAACAGUAACUGAUGUCCCAGUCAAAAUAGACGAUCACGUUGUCUACACAGACUUUCAAGUUAUUGACAUGGGAGAAGAUGAAUAUGAUCCACCCGUCAUCCUUGGAAGACCGUUCCUCAGCACCGUUAAAGCAAUUAUCUACAUUGGAACCGGAGAAGUCCAUAUGCACUUCCCCUCAGAGAAGGUACGCCGUUAUUUUACUGACCUUAACUAUAUCAUUGAAGAAUCUAAGCAGGUAAGAAAGCGACGCAACCGCAACCAGAGGAGGCAGAUCAUCAAGGACGGAUGGGCAGACUAUGAAGGAGAAGUGAUAAGGUCAGAAGACGUAGAGUUUAAACAGAAUUAUCCAGAGGAGAUUGAAGCACCGAGUCAGGUAUGGAAAAUGAAGAUAACUAUACAUGAAGAGGAGGCGCUGCCGGAAGUACCGACUACGCCACCCAACGAACCUCAGGACAAUUGAGAAAAUGGAGAGUCCCGUUCGGAGGACUUAAAAACACCGAACACCUUGCUGUUGACACUAGCUAACACCACUUAGAUACUAGGUUGUCAUCCCCAGCAUGGUGCCAGAGUGUACAAAGGUAUUUAUAAAUGUAAAGGCUCUCUAGAAAAUAAUCUAUUCUAUCCGCAAGCACACAGAUAAAACACCUCAUUGUAGCAUUUCACCAGGAUAAGUAUUCCAGGUAUCGUUAUUUAUAAUUUUGCUCAAGGGAUCUAAGAUGAAAUUAAAUCAAGGGGGCAAAAUCUAUCAAGGCAUAGACUAGAGAUAAACUUGCAAGAACAUGAUUACUAAUGAGAAACUCGUCACACAGUCACUUAGUUUAGCAGGAGGUAAACCAUAAAGAUAAUGAUAAUGAAUUAUAAGUUCAUGGGUAGAUGACACAGCGAUUAGAAAAUAGACUACUCCUCAUAUAUGUAGGUGAUGUCGGAUUAGCUAGAGCAUGGAUUCUAAGUUAUCUACUAACUACUAAGUCAUAAUCUACUCUAGUUAUCUACAAGAUCAUAUAUAGCAUAAAAGACUCUUCAUUCAUGUAUAAGGAACAUUGAUAAAGUAAAUCAGAGCAUCGCAUGACUUACUCCACAAUACCGGUUCUGCCUGUCCUAUCAACGGAGGGUGGACUAUAUAAGAAUCAACGAAGCUGUCACUAUCGCGAACUACCACAUGACCCGGCCAAUAGGAUACAUUUGCAGAUAAAUAACAUCUAAGCACCACGCUCACAUGUGAUCUAUCACCUAACUCCCUCGCGUCAAGAGCUAAGCGCUUUGCAAACUUAUACAUAAACUCAUUAUCAAUUAGAACUAUAUCAAAUAUAGAACUAGAGCAAACUAAGAACAUAAUAAUUAGAGACAUAAUUCAAUUAGAACAAAGAAUUAGAGAAAGAUAUGAAUAAUACCAAUCUUUAUUACCGAAGAUCCGAAUCCAGAGCGUAGUGCUCUACUUCUCUAAUUGCUAUCUAAUCAAACCUCUAAACUUGAAGGAUUAGGGAUUAGCUAAUUCUAAUUCUCUGUGGGAGAGAAGCUCUAAACCCUAACUUUGAUGGCUACCUCUGAAUAAUGAUUUCUCCUCUCCUCCUCCAGGGGCCAGGGGGUCUGGUUUUAUAGUCCCCUCAAGUGAACGUGAGUCAUUGGAUCAAACCGACAUAGAUUGUAUGGUUUAGAUUGAUCCUUUAGGUCGGUGGAGCGUAGUCCCGAAGCAGAGUCCUGAUUGGACUCCUCGCCUGGGCGGGCGCCCAAGGGGGGUGGGCGGCCGCCCUGCCCCCGAGCCCGAUUCCCUUCUCGUUUGUUCCCGUGGCUUCUGGACCCUUCUAGAUUGAGGAAAAUUGCGCGGCACGUAAUUAUCUCGUUGUAAACAUGACAUGUGGGCCUUCUCUCCAUAUUCUCUGAUAACCCUCUGCAGAAAUAGAUAAACACCAAAGCUCGUGGAAUUCUGUCAGAUAAAACCCUAAUUCUAGAUAUUUGUUUCAUAUUGAUCCUUUUUCAUGUUUAUUUGAUUAUUAAUUUUAGUACUUAAGGACCGUCAACACUUGCCAAGAGGAAAACUUGGUAGUUAUCCUUUCCCUUUCAAUUCUUUCAACUAGUUUACUUAGUUAAUUAGGUUCGUACCAUCCUAAAAAGAAAAUAAAAAUGUAAAAAACAGUAAGCCCCAUGUGAGUAGACAAGUGGCAUAAAACCCAUAAGUACAUUCACUGUGGUGGCAUAAAAAUAAAAUAAAAAUUUCUUUUCUGCUUUAUAAAAUAAAAAUAUAAAAACAGGGAGUAAUAUUUAUUGAGGAGUCCCAACAUGAUAAAGGCUAGAUAUUUAUGCUAACAUUUAAUCAGUUCCACAAAGCUUUGUUGUCUAUUUAAGCUCCACAGAAUUUAAGAAUCAAGAAGACAAGCAGACGGAGGACAUUCUGAUCGCUGUCAGAAUGCUGCUGACUUUCAAAUACACCUCUGCCACCUGCUAGCUACAUCAAGAGAAAUUACGUCAAAAUUCAGCUUGGGGGAGAGCACCCCCAUUUAUCUCGAUAAGUAUUCCUAUAUAUCUAUCUUUAUACUUAUAUUAUUUUAGAAUAUAAAUAUACAUAACUAUGAAAAACCAAAUAAGGAUUUUAUGCUUAUAUAUAUAUAUGUCUUUUGCUUAGUGUGUUUAAUAAAUAAAUAAAGUGGCUAUGCUAAUCUGUAUCUAAAUAAAAUUUAAGCAUGGAUAUGAUGAAUAGUUGCUCUGCCUAAUUUGCACAUUUUAAGUUCUCUCUCAAGUUUAGAUAUAACUGUUAUAAUUUAAAGCUUGCUCU
RNAcentral lists this long non-coding RNA (58884 nucleotides) under Sorghum bicolor (sorghum). RNAcentral describes it as "long non-coding RNA (SBIC_LNC003432)". The stretch from base 32377 to 32483 matches the Rfam family "Plant small nucleolar RNA R71". Lineage: Eukaryota; Viridiplantae; Streptophyta; Magnoliopsida; Poales; Poaceae. The record is from RNAcentral.